AACCACACAUGCAUUAUUCAAAAAUCAAUGUAAAUUACUGCAGGAAAAUCUGUAAUCCAUAACCUCCUCUAAACCUUCAAGAGCCAGUGACACAUAACGCACUUCCCAGUAAGCAGCUCCUUGGUACUACAUACACCUAAGCCCAUGUACACUUUCCUAGCCAGUCCCCACUUUACAAUAAUUUGAGAGUACAUGAGGAAAACUCUCACCUCCCAUCCAACCCCUGCACCCUACAAAUUUCCUCUGCACAUCAACAAUGCAUGUCGAACGCUUCAAUUGAUUCAAUCAGUUCUUGCUCCAUGAAGAUCACUAUCCAAAAAUGCAUACUUAUCUACUCGUCUGAGCUACUAAAAUCUCCGCAUCCAACCUCUGCUCCUCUCACCAUCCUCCACCACUUCUCCCAACCGCAACCACCACCACACCAAUCUCCAGACUCNNNNNNNNNNNNNNNNNNNNNNNNNNNNNNNNNNNNNNNNNNNNNNNNNNNNNNNNNNNNNNNNNNNNNNNNNNNNNNNNNNNNNNNNNNNNNNNNNNNNNNNNNNNNNNNNNNNNNNNNNNNNNNNNNNNNNNNNNNNNNNNNNNNNNNNNNNNNNNNNNNNNNNNNNNNNNNNNNNNNNNNNNNNNNNNNNNNNNNNNNNNNNNNNNNNNNNNNNNNNNNNNNNNNNNNNNNNNNNNNNNNNNNNNNNNNNNNNNNNNNNNNNNNNNNNNNNNNNNNNNNNNNNNNNNNNNNNNNNNNNNNNNNNNNNNNNNNNNNNNNNNNNNNNNNNNNNNNNNNNNNNNNNNNNNNNNNNNNNNNNNNNNNNNNNNNNNNNNNNNNNNNNNNNNNNNNNNNNNNNNNNNNNNNNNNNNNNNNNNNNNNNNNNNNNNNNNNNNNNNNNNNNNNNNNNNNNNNNNNNNNNNNNNNNNNNNNNNNNNNNNNNNNNNNNNNNNNNNNNNNNNNNNNNNNNNNNNNNNNNNNNNNNNNNNNNNNNNNNNNNNNNNNNNNNNNNNNNNNNNNNNNNNNNNNNNNNNNNNNNNNNNNNNNNNNNNNNNNNNNNNNNNNNNNNNNNNNNNNNNNNNNNNNNNNNNNNNNNNNNNNNNNNNNNNNNNNNNNNNNNNNNNNNNNNNNNNNNNNNNNNNNNNNNNNNNNNNNNNNNNNNNNNNNNNNNNNNNNNNNNNNNNNNNNNNNNNNNNNNNNNNNNNNNNNNNNNNNNNNNNNNNNNNNNNNNNNNNNNNNNNNNNNNNNNNNNNNNNNNNNNNNNNNNNNNNNNNNNNNNNNNNNNNNNNNNNNNNNNNNNNNNNNNNNNNNNNNNNNNNNNNNNNNNNNNNNNNNNNNNNNNNNNNNNNNNNNNNNNNNNNNNNNNNNNNNNNNNNNNNNNNNNNNNNNNNNNNNNNNNNNNNNNNNNNNNNNNNNNNNNNNNNNNNNNNNNNNNNNNNNNNNNNNNNNNNNNNNNNNNNNNNNNNNNNNNNNNNNNNNNNNNNNNNNCGAGGCACUCUUUCCACCCGGAGUCUCCGAUCAGCAACAGCUUGAAAAGGUAAUCACUGCCAAAAACCACCACCCACGUCCAUCAGUCACGACUCAUCAUGCUCCUCAUCCUGUGGGCCAAAUUCUGCUCGUUUGUCACCAUCAAUUCAUAUCUGCAUACACCACCAUAACCCAUCCCAACCACCUCCUGCACCUUUCUUGAUCAGACCCACCACGCUUUACCAAGUUUGAACCCCACACCGAACAUGCCCGGACACAAUUCACCCAAACCCUCAAAACCACGCUACACUACCCAUCCACCGCUGCCCGGCGCAACAUUUGGCACGCGUAUUCACACACUCCACGACAUAAACCCUAAAACGACAAGAUCACUCCGCACACCCUCCCGAAGAUUUGCUCUUAUCGUGCGCGAUAGUCAAGCGACCAUCAAACUACCACCUUGUGCAGACCACGUCCCAAAUACACACACAGUGCCCAGCAACUUCAACAAUCAAAAGCUUCGUCCAACUCAACAAGUCUAACGUCCAGUACGCCACUGACCAUUCCACUCCGACAUCCAACAACAUCUCGCAGGUCUUCCACCGAUGGCGAAGGGGUUGAGCAACCGACAAUGUUCCAGCGACACGCACUUUACCAUCCAUGGUUGUACAAUCCCAUCACCCUUUCACAGCGAAAACCACUCCACAGGUCGUUCGAUACUCUCUACCAACCCACCGAAGCCUUAAUUGUCAUGCUUUGCACGCCAUAACAUGCCCCUCAUAAGGACUCCGAAAACAAAAUCACGCUUCGACACAGACAAAUCGUCAAAAGCACUCAGCUACAUAUACGUUGCAAACAAACUAAUUGAGACUUUCAAAAGUCAAAAUCACAAAAAAAAGAAGAAAAGUCGGGGUUCUCAAGACUCUGAUAAAGCUUCGCUUCUGACACCAAGACCACCAUCUUCUAACCACGCAUGCAUCUGAAGCUACUCUGUCCACUCACACAUGUACCAUAACACACCCACACUCCCCGUUUCCACAAUGUCAUGCCACCACCCCAAUCCCCACCAGCUCUACCAUCGAACUUUCUCACAAUCUACAUUCAGACCACCCACACAACCUCAAUGAUCCAUCCAUUCCACUACCAGUACUUCAAACACACACACACACACACACACACACCUUCCCAACCCCCACUUUCCAUGCUCCACACACACCAUCACGAUCAACUCAUCGACAUCUCCACAAAUGCCACACAAACAUCCCAAAGGUCCUCCAUAACCACACAUCCCCGAACUAACCCAACACAACCCUCUCUACACCACCACCACCACAAGAACUGCACUACCAACACCAACACCAACACAACUUCUCACCAAAUACCCAAAACACACACACACACACACACACACAAACACUCACUAUUCGGGAUUCAUGGUGCCUUUCUUUCGGAUCGGCCUUCUGGGCUAUCUCCCUGCCUUCAACCAAACUUCUGCCACUCCCCGAUCUGCACCCCACUUCAGCAAGGAACACAACGCCGAUCCGAGAUCACGACCGACACAAAAACUGACCCCAGAACGACAAAGACGCAAAGGAAGACGAGGCCACAGACAGGAAAGUGUUGAAAGGGGAAGGGUCGUUGUGAAGGGGUCGUGGCUCUAGCUCAGGCUAUGGCGUCAAGCUUGUGGUUCUAGUGGCAUCAAGCUUAUGGUUCUGGUGGCUGUGGCAAACUCCCUGCUCCCUUUCCACUCUUUGAGGCCACACAUCAUUCUCCAACUAACAGGCCCCUUGUAUCUUCGCUUCCAAAAGAUUUCUGUGUCGUUCUAUAAUAUGUAAUACAAGUGGUAGAUUUUCCUAGUCCGUGACUUGCAGCGUGGACUCCAGCGCGGGAAUCCACGUCAGUUUUGUGUCGAGUUGGAUCUGACGUGGACUCUGUAUUUUUGAGUGUUACUGAAUGCAGGGGUGAUUCCUUUGGAUUCACUGUGCGGAAUCUACGUGGAAUCCUGAUUGGUUUCUAUUUAAUUGCUAGGUUUUUUUGUCUUUUGUCUUGUGGGUUUUCUAUCUUUGAACAUUUUUUUUUAAUGCGUGUGUGAAUUCAUUCUUCAGGAGUGGUUGGUGAUGCAGUUUUUUUUUUUUUUUUUUUUUUUCACUUUGCUUCAUGGACCCAUUUGUAUGCUUUCUUUGCAUCGUAGAUUACAUCAGUACGACACAAUUGUGUUUGGGUGAAGAUCACUUUUUUUUUAUAUUUAUAUAUAUUUAUAUAUUCAAAUUGAAAAUGGAAUAGCAUGCAUACAGGUUAGAAAACUUCUUCUUCUUCUUCCCCUUUUAAUUUAAUUUAAUUUUGUUUUUUUCUUUUCUUUUCUAUAUUUCAACCUUUGGAAUUGCGUAGACAGCACUAACAAAUUGCCAAGUACUGCCUUGAGAUCUACACAAAAUUAAGGACAAGUAUCAAAGGGUGUUUCAACUCCCAAGGACUAUUCUAAACUUAAAUGGGGUGUCUUGGGACCAUGAAACAUGUACUCCACACAUUGUCUCAUUCCUUAAAAGAUAAGUUAUGGUGACACCAUCCAUAGAAGUUUUGGAUGUGUUUACUGGUGUUUUUAAGAAGUUUUAAGAAUAUACUAAGAAUUUUAUGUUGUAUACAGAAUUUUACAUGUUUCAAGUGAUUCAAUUUAUUUAUUUAUUUUUAAAUCUGUAAUUGUGAAGAUGUUUUUAGAUCUUGAAAGUUUCACAAAAUAUUCAAAUAUUAAAACUACAAGAUCAUAUAAAAUAGCUCAGAAUAAGUAUUAUCAUUUUUAUUGUUUUUAUUUUUGCUUAACAAUUUGAGUCUUUUAAUUUGAUUUUAAAAAAUAUAUAUUAUUAUAACCAUUUAUUAAUUUUGUAUAUGGAUUAUUAAAAAGCUUAAGAAUUUUUUAUUUCAACUUUAAGUAAAUUGUAGCUUUAAAUCUCAAAUAACAUUUAUUAACAAUAAUCAUGAUAAGUAUCAUUUAUUUUGAAAUUAUUUUAUAUUAAUUUGGUGAUUUUCUUUGCUAAAAAAUAAUCCUUCAAUAUCUUUUCUAUAGACUUUAUAUUUUCUGAAUAUUAAAUUAUUAUAUGUGUACAUUCAUAAUUAUUAUGUAUACACACAAUCUUAUCUAAAAUUAUCAAUAAAAAAAAAUAGGUAUUUUAAAGAAAUUGUUUUUAUCUACCAUGUCAAAUAUUAAAAUAAGUUACUUUGUAGAAGAUAUUACCUUAGAUAAGUUGCUAAUAAUUAAAAGAUUGACUCUUAGUAUAUAGUAAAGACAUCCUAUGGAUAUAAGACGAGGUCAAGGGCCAAGAGUCAAAGUCAAGAGGAUAAAAUAUAAAUUUAAGAAUAUUCAAAGACUAUGUAAGAAUAAUUAGUAUUUAACAUAAGAUACCUUCUUAAUUAGUGAUAUGUCAAAAGAUUCUAAAACCAUUCAAUACUCUCAUCGUAAAUAAGAUGUCAAAGGGUCUUAGGACUAUGUUUAUAAAAAUUAAAGAGUGGAAGUUGUUUUUUAGGGCCACAACCAUCACCUAUAAGUAAUGAAUAUUAGAAGUAAAAGAUAUCUUAUUCUACACUUUCUUUGUGUAUAAUCUUAUUAAUGCUAUAUAUUAUAAUUUCAAAGUUCUUUUUUUUCAAUAAGUUAUGGGUCCACUCACCUUUAGUUUUGAAUUUUGAAGUUCUUUGAAGUCUUUUUUGUUGUAAAGAGUAGAUCUUAUAGUUAUUGCUGAUAUUAGGAUUUGGUAUCUUCUAAUGCCUUUUUUGCAUCUAAUUUUUGAUGUAGUUUUGCUCUUAUUUGUUUUUUAGUGCAUUCAUGGUCUUAGAGAUUGUUAGAUACCUUAGAAUGAUGUUUUAAAAUCCUAGUAAUGUGUUUCUUUGUUGAGUUUCAACAUUGAUAUACAAGAGAUUUAGAUAGAGUAUAAGUCUUGUGAGAAGUCUUAUAAGUGAAGUUAAGAUUUAUUAAAGAGUCAAAUCACUAGUUUACUUACAAAAAAGGUAUUUUAGGUUUCUAAGAUAGCAAUAUCUUCUUAUUGAUUUUGAAAGAUCUAUCUUUUUUUUUUUUCUUGAUUUUCUUUGAUAUACUUCUUUUUUAGACAUGGCUUUAAGAAAGGGUGAGAGCUUUAGAGUGAUUGAGAAGUUUAGAGGUGACAACUUCUACCAUUGGAAGAAAAAAAUGAACCUUUUAUUGACUUUAUAGGACCUUUGAGACACUAUUGAUGAAAGUGAAGAAUCUCUAAAGAACAAUGUUGAUAUCAUGGUAAAGAAAGAGUAAAAAUGUUGAAAAAAGAACUCUUUUGGAUUGAUUGCAAAAAAUCUUCAUGGUGCUAAUAUUUCACAUAUAAUUAUUUGCAAUGGAUGAACAAAAGCAUAGAAGUCUUUAUGCAAUAUCUAUAAAAGUAGAAAUCUUACCAAUAUUCUAUAAAUAAGGAUGAAGUUCUUAACAAUAAAGAUGGAAGAAAGAGAUGUCUUCAUAGGUCAUAUCAAUAAGAUAAAAAUACUUGCAAAUCAAUUAGAAGUUGUUGUCCUACCAAUUUUUGAUAGAGAAAUUUGCUUGACAUUAUUUAUGAACCUUUUGGAAUCCUAUAACUAAUUUAAUGUAGCAUUAGAAUCUAUCAACAUUAAGGAACUUAUCAUGAAUUAUAUCACGUCAAGACUUCCUUAUGAAAUAACCAAGAGAAAAGAAAAUGAGCUUCAAAGUAGAGAUUCAAUUCUAUUCUUAAGACAAGACAAAAGUAACUAUUUUUAUUAAUGUGAUAAUUUAAAAAGAAAUAUGAGAAAUUACUAUAUUUAUAAAAAAAUCAUGUCAAUUUAUAAGAAAUUACUAUAUUUAUAGAAAAUCAUAUCACUUUGUAAAAAAAUUCUAUAAAGUCAAGAAAAUAGAUAAGAAGAACGUAAAUAAUCUUCAUAAUAGUUUUGGUAGAAAUGACUAUGCUUUCAUAACAAGUAAAGGAGCCUCUAUGCCUACCAUGUUUAAGUGGAUUAUAGAUUUGAAUGCUAUUAAGGACAUGAUACCAUAAAAGUAUUUAUUUGAUAUUAAUGAAGCAAUUUCAACAACAAAAAUUUGGUUCAAAGACAAUGGUAUGGUGUAAAUAAUUAAAAUUGACUCCAUUAUAGUAGAGAUUGUUGUCAAGGAUAAAAUAAAGAAGAUCAUAUUAAAGAAAGUCUUACACAUGCCAAAAAUGAAGAAGAAUCUCUUUUUGGUGAGCAAACUUGUAUUAUAUGGUCAUAAGAUUUAAUUUGACAUAAAUGGCUAUUUUAUGAAGAUAUUGGAUGGACAAGAUGUUGCCAAAGACUUUAAAAAUAGUAACAUCUACUUUUUUAAUUAUAAAAAUGUCAAUGGAGUUAAAGUAGUAAUAUUUAUUGAAUUUCUUUAAGAUCAAGAUAAAUUUGAAAUUUGACAUCAAUUAUUUAGUUAUUUAAAUAUCAAAAGCAUGAAGAAUCUCUAAUCUAUAGUAAGUAGCUUGGAUCUUAGUCAAUUUAGCUACAAUGCAAUGACACUUAUUUGUGAAGGUUAUAUACAAGGUAAACAACAAAGAACUUUAUUUUUAAGUAGUGUUGCAAUACGUAUUAGCAAAUUAUUGAAGAUUUUAUAUUUUGAUAUUUAUCAACCAAUGAAGAUGCCAUCAAUUAGAGAAGUAAAUUACUUUGUCAUAUUUAUUGAUAAUGUUUUAAGAAAGAUGUAGAUUUACAUUCUUAAAAUUAAGAGUGAAUAUUUCUCCAGAUUUAAGAAUUUAAAGUACUUAUGGAAAAGCAAUAUGAAUGGAAGUUCAAAAUAUUAUACAAAGACAAUGGAAGUGAGUAUAUGUAAAAGUAUUCUAAUGAAUUUUUGAAGAUUCACGGUAUUAGAAUAGAAACCUCUUUUCUUUACAUUUUACAACAAAAUAAAGUUGCUGAAAGAUCAAAUUAUACCAUUGUAGAGAUGGUAAGGAAUAUGCUUCAUAUGCAAAAUCUUAGGCAUGAGUAUUGGACCAAAGCUAUUUUAAAUAAAAUAUAUAAAAAUAAUAGAUUUCUUAUAAGUAUAUUUACAUCAAUGAUUCUAUAAAAAGCUUAGAAUGGCAAAAAAUCUUAUGUUUUAUACAUGAUGAUUUUUAAAUGCAUUGCUUAUACAAAAAUAACCAAUUGUAUGAAGUCCAAACUUGAUACAAAAGGUACAAAAUGUGUGUUUGUUAGAUAUUGUAGAGAUAUUAAGGCAUAUAAGCUAAUGUAUUUAAAAACCAAAAUAUUCAUCAAGAAUUAUAAUGUAGAACUUUUGGAGCAUAAAAAUGCUUGUGAGCACUUGGAGAUGUAUCUAAGUGGGAGUAAUGAUGUGUUUGUGGAUACAUCUUUGAUUUUAGCAAAGAAAAAAAGAGAAGAUGAUGAAAAUGAAGAUGGUGGAAAUAUAAAUAAAAAUGAAGUGUCAGCAAAGAUAGGCCAAAGUGUGUCUAUAAUUGCUAAAAUCAAGAAUAAACACAAUCAAGAUGUUGAAGAUAUUAAUGAUGAAGAAUACCAACUUUUGAAUAUGAAGAGAUAAGUUUUAAGAAAAAAGAAGCUUAUAAGAGAUCUUGAAAUGUAUAAAAGUGAAUCUUCAUCAAGUAAAGAAAGUAUCCUAUGAAAGAAAGUAAAUAACUUGGUGAAUGAUAGAAGAAUCACAUCUUUCUUCAAGUAAGUAAAGAAUAUGCUAGUAUUGCACUUUAUAUUGAUCCAUUAGAUUUAUAUGAUGCAAUGAAGUCUAUGGAUGCUAUAAAGUGAGAGAAUGGUAUGAAAGAAGAGUGCAAAUCAUUUAUAGAUAAUGAAAUAUGGAAAUUGAUUCGACUUUUAUCAAAUUAAUUUUUGAUAACUUAUAAUUAAGUAUUUAAAACCAAAAAGGAUGCAAUGAACAAUCUUAUGAGAUACAAAGCUGGAUUGAUUGCCAAAAACUAUUCACAAGUUAAUAGUAUUAAUUUCAAUGAGAUAUUUGUUCUUGUAACUAAAUUCACCACCAUUAAAAUUAUUGUGACAAUUGGAACAAUAAUGAACUUGGAGAUGCAUCAAAUAGAUGUGAAGACAAUUUUUUUAAAUGGAAAAUUAAAAGAAGACAUCUAUAUAGAUUAACUUCAAGGAUUUGUUGAAAAAUUCAAAAAAUAUCUUAUUUAUAAGUUAAAAAAAUCUUUAUAUAUGGUUAAAUAAUCACUAAAGAUAUGGUAGUAAUGUAUUGACACAUUCUUUGUGAAUAAAAGGUUUUUUAGGAGUGAAAUUGAUUAUUCAAUGUAUGUGAUGAAAUCAAAUGAGUUUUUAUUGAUUGUCAUGCUCUAUGUUAAUGAUUUCAUCAUCUUAAUCAUUACCUAAAAGGUGAUGGUUUAAUUAAAAAUAAAGUUAAAAAAAGAGUAUGAGAUGACUGAUUUGAAAGAGCUUCACUAUCUUUUAGGAGUAGAGCUUGUAAGAGAUUAUGCUAAGAAGACUAUUACAAUGAGUCAAAGCAAGUAUAUUAAAGAGAUAUUGAAAUAAUUCAACAUAGAGGACUGUAAGCCUAUUGGAACAUAUUUAGUGGCCAAUUUGAAGUUGAUGAAAUUUACGAAUGAAAAAUUUGGUGAAGUUGAAGGUGAAGUAUAAGGUAUUCUAUACAAGGUAGCAGUAGGCUUAUUUAUGUAUAUAAUGGUUGGCACAAAGAUGGAUCUUAUAUAUAUAAUAAGUGUUAUAAGCCAACACAUGUCAAAGACUAGAUCAAUCCAUUAGACAACCAUAAAAAUGAUCAUGAGGUACUUAAAAGGUACAUUAUAUUUCAAAUUGUGCCUUGGAGGUGAUAAUAUUACUUUGCAUGGUUAUUAUUAUGCAGAUUAGGCUAAAAAUACAAAUGAUAGAAGAUCAAAAAUAGAAUAUGUAUUUUUUGUGGAAUAAGAGUUAUUUCAUGGAAUUGCAAGAGACAACUAAUAAUUACAAGGUCAACAAUAGAAGCAAAAUAUAUAACAAAAAGCUAUAGUAUAAUAGAAAUAAUAUAGCUAAGAUAAUUUUUUGAGGACAUUGGAAUAAUACAAAUAGAAGCAAAUUCAAUAAAGUCUACCAAUCAAGAAUAUCUCAUUUUUAUGAAGAAUCCAAAGUAUCAUUCAAAGAUCAAGCACAAUGAUAUUCAACAUGACUUCAUAAGAGAGAAGAUUAAAAUAUAAGUGAUUGACAUGAGAUAUUAUGCAAUAAAAGACAUAUUUGUUGAUUUAUUGACAAAAUGUCAAAGACAUGAAUCUUGAAGAAAGAAAAUUCUCAAUACAUUAUUUUAUCAAUGAAGAAAACUAAAAAGUCACUCAAGAGGUGAUGUAAUAUUUAAUCAGAAUGGCUAUUGCCAAAAAUAAGAGAACUAAAAAAUCUUAGAAUAAGACUAAGGACUUGAAAGGUGUUGACAAGAGUGAAGAAGGCUUCAUUCUUGCCUCCUUAUAUACUUAUAACUAGAAGCUAUAUGGCAAUGUGCUAUAGGACUUCUAAAAUAUGUUGACUUUGCUAACCAUAUGUCUUAAUUUGUAAAGCAAGUUUUUUAUAUAUGUGCCACAUAAUUAGCUUCUUCUAUAAGCUACUGCAUUAAAUUAAUUUGUUUUAUAAGCUACUAACAUGUGGUUAGCUUGUUGGCCAAGUUUCUAAUCUACAAAUAUAUCUAAAGUCAAAACCGCAGCUAUGAAGCUUCUAGAAAACUUUUCUAAAAGACUUUAUGAAAUUAAUUUAUAUUUAUCUACUUCUAUCUAAUCAUAUAAGAAACUAUCUAGGUAAAUGUAUAUGUCCAUGAUAUUACUUCUUCUUCUAUGGACGAGUUCCAUGAGGAGUGGUCAUCAUCUUUCAUAUAACUUUGUAAUUCUUUAUCUUGAUUUUGAUGGAUGUCGUCGAUGAAAGGCCUCAACAUUUUUUUUUGCAUUUGCAAGAUUCUUUACUGGGUGCCAUGUACGUUUGCUAAGAUCAUAUUUAUGCUAAUGAAUAAGAUAUUCUAACCUAUUUUGAUGCUAUCUUGAAUCUAAGACUUCUUUCACCUCAAAUAUCAUAUGAUUGUACAAAGUCUUUUAUCGCCUUCUACAUUUGCGGCAACCAAAAAUCUCUAGAUAUAAGCUCUAAAGUCUUAUUAUAUCCAAAAUGUCCUGUUGUUAGAAAGUCAUGACAUGCUUGAAGAACAUAUAAAUGUGCUUCUCCUUCUGGAAUAUAUAAGCAUGUUUUGAAAUAGAAAAGAUUGUUCUCGAACUCGAACUUUGAAAUAAAGUGAAACUUAAAAGGAAGGUUCUUCAAAUCGUGAACAAGAGGAUCAAAGGACAUACUUAAUUAGAUUUGCUUGAUAAAGGUUGAAUCAACAAUUAAUGUUGACUUUAUUGCUCAAAGAUGAAAAUGCUCCAACUUUAAGAAAAUUAUUCUUUGUUGAUCAAAAGAUGCAUCUCUUUCUUUUGGUGCAAGAUAAGAACAUUUCAAAAGGACAUUUAAUAGACCUUGUUGUUUUUUGGAUUGAUAAGUAAUCUUGAAAUUGAAUCUGGACAAAGACAUACUCCAACGGGCUUCAUAACAAUUCAAAACACGUGUUGACAUGAAGUACUCAAGAUUCUUAUGAUCCGUAUACAUGAUAACUAGACUUGAAGCGUCUUUUAGAUAAUAAUGCCAUUCUUAAAAUGAAUCCAUGAUUCCAAGAAGCUUUUUGUCAUGAAUCUCGUUAAUUUUGGCUACUCAAAAUUUCUUGGAAUGAAAAGCUACUAGGUAGAGUUUAUUAUAUGUUCCCAUUUGGGACAAUAUGGCACCUAUAGCAAAGUCUAACACGUCUAUUUCCAUAAAAAAUGCCUUGAAAAAAUCAACACAAUAUAAGAUUGGUACUAAAGUAAACUCUUUUUUUAAAGUAUCAAAUUAUGCUUCUGCUUCUUUAUUCCACUCAAGUUUGUCUUUACAAGUCAAAUGUGUUAGUGGAGUUGUAACUUGAAAAAAGUUCUUGAUGAAGAUUUGGUAGUAAUUAAUAAAGCCUAAAAAUCAUUGUACAUCUCAUACUAUUCUUGAAAUCUUCUUAUCUAUGAUAGUUUGGACUUUUUUGGGAUCCAUCAUAAGGCCUUUGUUAGAAAUGAUGUAUCCUAAAAAGUCAACUUGAGUAGCAUGGAAUACACACUUUUCUAACUUGAGAUAAUUUUGUAUCUCUAAGUUUUUUAACAUACAACGAACAUGAAGUUUAUAUUCUUCUGUAUUCUUACAGUAGAUUAGAAUGUCGUCUAAAUAGCAAACAAAAAAUCAUCUAAAAAUUCACAAAAAAUAUCAUUCAUAAGAUGUUGAAAAGUGGUUGAUGCAUUUAUCAAUCCAAAAGAUACGAUAUUAUAUUCAAAAUAUCCAUACCUAGUUCAAAAAGUAGUCUUGUAUUCUUCUCGUUCUUUGAUAUGAACUAAGUUAUAUGCUCUUUGUAGAUCUAUUUUCGUAUAGAUCUUUGUUUGAUUGAGUUGGUCAAGAAGUCUUGAAAUCAAAGGCAAAGGAUACCUAUUUUUGAUGGUGAUCUUAUUGAAUCUUUGAUAAUCCACACACAUCCGUAAAGAUCCAUCUUUUUUCUUUACAAAUAAGAUAGGAGCUCUAACUAGAGAUUUAGAAUGGCAUAUGAAGUUCUUUGCCAAGUUUUCAUUAAUGUAUUCUAUUAAUGUAGCCAAUCCAUUUUACAACAAGCUAAAGAUUGAUCCAAGUAGUAGUUGAGCUCCUUCUUACAGAUCAAUUGAACAAUCAUAAGAUUGAUGUUUUAGAAGAAUAUCUUCAUUCUUUUUUUUUCAAAAAUAACUUAUAAUUCUUGAUAUUGGCUAGAAAUACCACUUGAUAUUUUUCCAUUAGUAGAAAUGAAUGUAGCAUAUAUAGCAAAAGAUGAUCCUUCUUUUGCGGCAUGUCUAAAAGCUCUUGCACCUACUAGUAAAGGUUUGGAUAUACUAGACUUUAUGUACUUCUACUUUAUUAACCCAAUUUUCGAUUAUACUACGAAAAAAGUUAAGAUUAUAAGAAAUCUAAUCUAUUUUAGAGUUAUAUUUUUCUAGCCACAAUAAUCCUAGAAUAAUCAUAUUAGAGAGAGAUCUUAUUAUAUUAAAUACUACUAUGCUGUUAUGAUCUUUAAUUGUUACAUCUAAAGGAACAAUCUCAUGGAUAACAUUUCUAGAAGACAACGAAUGACCAUCUAUGACUUCUACAUGUAUACAUUUAUUUUUCUUGAUUAAAGAUAUUUUUUGAUUUUUGACAAAAUCUUUGUCUAUAAAACACGUUGAGGUUCUUGAAUCUAAUAAGAUAAAGACUUUGUGAUUUUUAAGUCCUAAACAUACAUGUAUUAUAAAACAAGGUGAAGGAUCUGAGGAAAGAAUAAGACCUUUAUUAAGUAUUGCAUAUGAUUCCAGCUACAUAGUUCCUAUUAUAGUUGAAAAAACUUGUUUUCUGACACAUUAUCUUCUUUGGUAAUUGUGUUCUUCAUUUUGUAACUAUGUUGCUUCUUUGGACAAUAUUGAGUAGUGUGCUUAGUUUCUCCAUAAUAUAAAUACAAACCUUCUUAGCGAUGUCGAGUUUUUUCCUACUCCAUAAUGGUUUAAAACAUAUUGUAUCAAUUUGAUUUGGUUCCAUCCUUAAUGAAUAUGUUUCAGUAAACUUCAAAGUUGCUGCCAUUACGUAACUUGUUCCUCUCCAGCCAAGUCUUUGUUCUUGAUGCCUUUCAAAUAAUUGCUUGUUGCAUGCAAUGGCUCGAGUAAUAAAUUGUUUCAAAGAUUUUGCUUUUGAUAUUAUUAAUAACAAAUCUUCAAUGCUAUCUUUCAACCCAUAUCAAAAUUGAUUGAUAAGUGCUUUUUCAUUUCAGUCCACAUUGCAAGAAAGGUUUUGGAAUUUAGCAGCAUAUAUGGUGGCUGACCGUGAUUCUUGUCAUAAAGUUAAGAGUUUGGUCUCUAUUACUCUUUCUCAAUCAAUUUCUUCAAAUGUGGCCAUAAAUACUUCUAAGAAUGAAUUCAAAUCAUAAAAAAGUCGUAAAUCUUUCUCCAUUAAAUGUACAAAUCAAGAGAGAGCAUUUCUUGAUAGAAGUGUACCUAUGAAUCUGACUUGAAUAAAUCCAUCGAAAUAUUUGGAAAGAUGUAACCUUAAAUAGAGCUUGAAUUGUUGCAAAAAUCCUUGAAAUUUUAAUCUUGUUCUAUCGAAGUUCUUAGGCAUACUAAUCCUUGCUCUUAUCAUACUUAUAGGAGGAAAAUUUUCUAGAUUUGGUUGUAAGGUCAAUCUACUUCCUUCCUUUAACUGCACAAUUUCUUACUACAUACUUUGAACUUUUUCUAUAGGCAUAGGUAUAGUAUUUCCAUGAUUCACGUUGGAAAUACAUGAGAUUUUUACUCUUAGGAUAUUGAUAAGUUCAUGAAGAUCUGUAAUAGUUAUAAAUCUAUUUUCACUUCCAUUAAAAGUGGCAUCCAUAAUUUUUUCUUCUAUAAAUAAUUCAAAUAAAUUUAAAAAAUUAAAUUAAAAGAAAGUAAUCCGUAACUUCUAAUAAAAAUUUCCACAAAGAUGGAUAAUCCACUCUCUUAAAAGAAAAGAUUAGAAUUAAAAAAUAAGAUUUUUUGCUUAAAGGUGGAUGGUCUGUAACCUUCAAAACACAACAAUAGAAGUGAGAUAAUCCACUCACUUCUAAAACAAGACAAAAACAGUAUGUUAGUACUCUUGUCAAAUUAUCAAGGAUAUGAAUCUUGAAGAAAGAAAAUUCUCAAUACAUUCUUGUAUCACUGAAGACAACUAAAAAGUCACUCAAGAGGUGAUAUAAUAUUUAACUAGAAUGGCUAUUGCCAAAAACAAGAAGACUAAAAAGUCUUAGAACAAGAUUAAGAACUAUAAAGGUGUUGACAAGAGUAAAGAAGGCUUCACUCUUACCUCAUAUACUUAUAAUUAGAAGCUACGUAGCAAUAUCCUAUAGGACCUCCAAAACAUGUUGACUUUGCUAACCACAUGUCUUAACUUACAAAGUAAGUUAUCUAUGUAUGCGCCACAUAGUUAGCUUCUUCUACAAGCUACUACAUUGAAUUAACUUGUUCUACAAGCUACUAACACAUGAUUAGCUUGUUGGUCAAGUUUCUAACCUACAAAUAAAUCUAAAGUCAAAACCACAUCUAUAAAGCUUCUAAAAAACUUUUCUAAAAGACUUUAUGAAGUUAAUCUAUAUUUAUCUAUCUUUAUCUAAUCAUAUAAGUAACUAUUGAGAUAAAUGUAUAUGUCCAUGACACAAAGAUAUUAUUAAAGGAUAGGCAUCACAUAUUGACAAAGAUGUUAGAAUUAAAAGCUUUUAACAAAUAGCAAAGUGAGAGUAUUAAAAUAAAUAAAUAAAAGUGAAAGUAGAAUAAAUUAUCUUAUAGAAAAUAUUAUCUUAAGUAAAUUAUUAAUAGUCAAAGUAUUGAUUCUUGAUAUGUAAAAAAGACAUCAUAUGGAUACAAGAUAAGGUCAAGGGCCGAGAGUCAAAGUCAAGAAGAUAAAUUAUCAAUUAAAAAAUAUCCAAAGACUAAAUAAGAAUAAUUAAUAUUUGGUAUAAAAUAUCUUUUUAAUUAAUAAUAUGUCAAAAGAUCCUAAGACCAUAAGAUAUUGUCAUAGAAAUAUAUUUAUUGUAAUUGUUACCUUGAUAAUAUGAAUAGAUAGAAGUAGGUAAAAUAGAUUAAUUUCAUAAUAUCUUUUAAAGAAGCUUCUUAGAAGCUUUAUAGAUGUUGCUUUAAUUUUAUAUGUAUUUUUAAUUAAUUAAGAGGUUAGAAACUUAGUCAACAAGCUAAUUACAUGUCACACAUGUUGGUAGCAUAUAGAACAAGCGAACUAUGUGGCACCCAUAUAAAAAACUUACCUUGUAAGUUAAAAUACAUGUGUUACAAAGUUAGAGGUCCUAUAGAACGUCGCCAUAUAGUUCUUGUGCAGAUAGUAUAUAUAGAGGUAAGAAUGAAGUCUUCUUUACUAUUAUCAAUUCUUUUCUUGUUUUUAGUGUAGUUUCAAGAAUCUUCACUUUUUUUGUCUUUUGGCAAUAGCUAUUUUAAUUUCUUUUUAAUAUAGAUAUUUUAUUAUUUUUAUUUUUUCAUACUUCUUAAAAAAAAUCUCACUUAUUUAUUUGCUUUUAUCGAGUUUUUUUCCUUAACAAAUUGACAAGAAUACACUUAUAAUAUCAAAGCUUUGUCUUUUUUUGAUUAAAAAUGGAUUAUCUCUUUAAAUUGAUAAUACAUAUGUAUAUUUGAAGUUAUGGAUUAUCUUCUUUUAAAAUAAUAUUAUUUUUUUUUAUUUUCAAGUUCUUUCAUUUACAUGUCUUGAGUAAUAUUAUAUAUCUUUUUUUUUCUAAGUAUUAUUAUAGCAAAGCUUAUUAAAAUAAAGAGUGCAAUGGUAUAAAUAUAAGUACAAUUAAAGGAGGUAAUGCUUACAAUGCAUCAACUCAAUUUAUCACUACAAAAAAAAACAAAAAAAACAAAAAAAAACAAAAAUCAAGGUAUAAAGAUGAUUUAGACCAAAUCAUAUCCUUUCUCCUAUAGUAGAAUAUUAUUCAAGCACUAAAGAACUAAAAAUUGCCUUACUUGAAAAGUUUGAUGGUAGAAGAUUAAAGUUUUGAAUAUUCAUCAAUAAAAUACACCUAACAAUUAAACUUCAACCUCAAAGCUAUCCAACUCCAACAUCACAAGUAAACUUUAUUAAAAUUCUAUUUUUUUAGUUUUGUACUAUCAUAGUUUUUAUCUUUUCUUCAACGACAUGAUCUAAUAUUGAUAAUUUGAAAGCUUUCUUGAGAGAGUUUCAAUCCAUGUAUGGAAGACAUGAUGCAAUUUGUAUUGCAAUAAAUAAGAUUCAUGUUUUAUGACAAAAAAACCAAUCUGUAAUAUUAUAUGUUUUAUAAUUUAUACAACUUUUAAUUGAUAUCAUGUAAAAUGAAAUUACACUCAUUAGCAAAUUUCUUUUUAAAUUAUAAUAUGUGAUAAAAAUUAAUUUACUUAAUCCUCAAACAUUGAAUCAGGUAAUUGAUUUUGCUAUAAAGUGUCAUAAUCAACUUUUUGAAUUUUGGUAUAAGAAUCAUAUAAGUAAGCCUCAAUAUUAAUACAAUUAAAUGGAAACACUAACUUCAUUUUAAUACAUACCUUCAAAAGUAGAGGAUAUGCAAAUUAAUGCAAUACAUUGUCCAAGUAGAGAGAAUUUGCCUUAAGAAAGCAAUGGGCUUCUAGUUGUCACUAAUUACUCAAAAAAGUCUCAAGAUAAAAAAAAAAAUACCAAGUUUAUAUAUAAAAUUAUUCCUAUAAGUGCAAGUACAUCAAUACAUAAGCCUUAAGUACCAAAGAUCACCAAAAAUAUAAUAAAAAUAUUAUAAAAACUUAUAUAUCCUUAAGGUGAAUUUUUUUCAAACUUCAACACCUCAUAUCUCACGAUCAAGCCAUCCAAACAAACCAAAAUUUUACAUGAAGUAUUGACGUACUUUCAACAACUACUACAACAAAUUUUAAUUAGAAAUUUAUUACGGAACUUAAGAUAUUGCCAAAAUCCUAAUGAUAGCUUUAAAUCCUUGCUUAUAUAUAUAUAUAUAUAUAUAUAUAUAUAUAUAUAUAUGAAAAUUUCUUCAUAUCUCACAAAUUAAAUAAUCAAAUACCAUAAAAUUUUAAUAUAUAAUUUUUUAACCUAAUAACAUAUACUUUUAGAAAUUUUGAGCCAAAAAUCCAUCCAAAAACUCAAGAUAUGGCUCCAACCAUUACUAUCAACAAAACGAGUUACUUACUGCCUUUGAAUUACAUAUAUUGUCUUUAAUAUUGUAUAAUUCCUUCAUUAAAACUCUAAAUACAAAAAUUCUUUCAUAAAAGAUGUAGAUCUUAAAAUUAUCCUUGUGGCGGCACCUUUUGAUUUCCAAAUUCUAUCAUAAAACUUCUUAUAUCUUCAAAUGAGUAAUAAUAUAUCUAAAAAAGAUAUCUUAACUUCAAAUGGCUAUAAUUUCAUCAUCCUAACUUCAAAUCCUCUAAACUUUGUAUAAAAAUUAUAGUCCAAAUCUUAAAUCUUAUAAUCUUUAUUUUUUAUUUUCAAAUGUUUCUUUUGAAGUUGCCAAAAUCCUUGUUAUGGUUGCAGAUAGCUUGUUGAAUGCUUAUUGGACAUGGCUUUUGAUCAAUAGGGAUGAAAAUCUUCACCUUUUACUUUCAUCCAUCUAUAUCUUGCUUUCAUUCCUCCAAAUAAGUUUUUUAAAGAUUUGGAUCUUUAUCUUUGAGUUCCAAUCUUUUCCUUAAAUUUUAUACUAAAUAUCUAAAUCCUACAUAAUUUAAAUAAUAUAAUCAACAUAAAUAAAUCUCAAAAUAAAUUUUCUUACAUUAAUUUUCUUUAAAUUAACCUAUUAACUACUUAAAUGCACAUCAAUAUUUAUAAAUAUAUUAUAUAUUUUAUUUAAUUUUUAUAUAGUAUAAAUAAUUAUAAUAUGAUAAUAUUUCAAAUUUCUUACUAAGUAAGAAAAGACUUCUCAUUAUUAAAAAGGAUCGUAUUUAUAUUAUAGAGAACCAAAGCACAUUACUCAACAAUAUCCAAAGAAAGAACAUUAUCAUGAAAUAAAAAGUGUAACUGUCAAAGAAGACAAUAUAUUAGAAAAAAAAAAAUUUAGCUACAAUAGAGAUUGUGCAGUUGGAAACUUGUACAACACCUAAUGAAGGUUCUAUUGUCUAUUCAAAAUCUUCUUUUUGUUUUAUAAUAGAUAUUAGUUUAAGACCUAAAUAUCACAAAGCCUUUGCUUUAGUAGAUUUAAGAGCUUCAUCUUAUUUUUUAGAUGUAGAGAUUAUUGAAAGACAUACCAUACUAUUUGUAAAGAAAACAAAACAUGUUCAUGUAGAAGUCAUAGAUGGUCAUCUGUUGUCCUCAAGAAACAUUACUCAUAAAAUAUUUCUUCUAAAAGUAGUAAUUAAUGGUCAUAGUAGUUUUGUAGUAUUUAAUAUCAUUAGAUCUCUUUCUAAAUUAGUCAUUUUAAAUUUAUUAUGAUUAAAAAAGUAAAAUCUUCAAAUAGAUUAGAUUUCUUAUAGUCUUAAUUUUUUUAAAAUUAUAAUUAAGAGUAUAGUUAAUCAAGUAGAAAGUCAUAAAUCUAGUACAACCAAACUAAUAUGUGUGGAUACAAGAGCUUUUUUGCAUGUUGCAAAAAAUGAUCACCUUGUAUCAUUUAUGCUAUACUUAUUUUUAAUAGUGGAAAGACUUCAAAUGAUAUUUUAAAUUAGUAUCAAGAUUUUCAAGAUGUAUUUGAAAAGAAGCAUGAAAAUAUUCUUUUAGAACAUUAUUCCUAUGAUUGAUCAAUUAACCUUUAAGAAAGAACUUAGUUGCCAUUUGAAUUGAUCUAUAAUUUAUCAUAAAAUGAAUUGCCUAAAUUCAAAGAAUAUAUUGAAGAAAAUCUAGCCAAAAACUUCAUAUGCUAUUCCAAAUCUCUAGCAUGAGUUCUAAUUUUAUUUAUAAAAAAAAAAAAAAAAAAAAAAAAAAAAAAAAAAAAAUGAUCAUUGUAGAUGUCUAUCAAUUAUUGAAGGCUCAAUAAGAUCACCAUCAAGAACAUGUAUUUGCUACGUUAGUUAUUUGGUCUUCUUCAUUAAUUGAAUUAAGCUGAGAUCUAUAUAAAAAUAGAUCUAUAAAAGGUAUAUAAUCUAGUACUUAUUAAAGAAAGAAAUAAAUAGAAAACUUUAUUUUAAAUCAAGUAAAGACAUUUUCAAUAUAAUAUCAUUUCUUUUGAACUUAUAAUUGCAUCAGUAGCUUUUCAACAUCUGAUGAAUAAUUUCUUUUGAGAGUUUUUAAGAUGAUUUUAUUAUUUUUUGUUUAAAUAACAUCUUAAUCUAUUUUAAGAAUAUAGAAGAAUAUGAACUUCAUAUUUGUCAUGUAUUACAAAAACUAAGAGAUGCAAAACUCUAUGCCAAGAUAAAUAUAUAUAUAUAUAUAUAUAUAUAUAUUACUCUAUUGAAGUUGAUUUUUUAGGAUACAUUAUUUCAAAUGAUAGAUUUAUGACAGAUCUUUAAAAAAAUUCAAACUAUUAUGGAUUAAAAGAUCUUAAAUAUGAUAAAAAAACAAUUCCAAUUAUUUAUAGAAUUUUUCAACUACUAUUAAAUCUUUAUUAAGGACUUCUUUUAAGUUGUAGCUCAAUUUAUGUAUUUGACUUGUAAAAACAAACUUAAAUGGAAUAAAGAAGCAAAAGAAGUGUUUGAAGCUUUAAAAAAAGCUUUUGUUUCUAUACCAAUCUUAUAUUAUAUUAAUUUUUUUAAGCCAUUUUGUAUGAAAAUAGAUGCAUCAAACUUUGUUUUAAGUGCUGUAUUGUCACAAACAGGAACAAAUGAUAAACUUAACCUGAUAGCUUUUGUCACGGAUAUAUGCAUGUAACCCAGUAAAUACAUGUAUAAAUAUAUAGAAGUAAGUAAAAAUAAGUAAAAAUAAGUUAAUUCUAUAGUAUUUAAUAUGGAAGCUUUUCAGAAGCUUCAUAGACAUUGCUUUGACUUUAUAGGUAUCUUUAAUUGACUUUUUGGAUUAGAAACGUGGUCAACAAGUUGGCCAUGUGCCACACAUGUUGUUAGCUUGAAGACCAAGCUAACUAUGUGGCCCACACUUAGAAAAACUUGCAUUGUAAGUCAAGACAUGUGUCCUACAAAGUCAACACAUAUUGGAGGUUCUAUAGAACGUUGCCAUAUAGCCCUUAGUUAGAUAGUAUAUAUAGAGACAAGAGUGAAGCCUUCUUCAUUCUUGUCAACUCCUUUCUUACUUCUAGUCUAGUUUCAAGGAUCUCUAGUUUUCUUGGCUUUUGGCAAUAGCCAUUCCAAUUUCUUUCUUAAUAUACAUAUCAAUUUAUUUAUAUUUUACCAUCUUUCUUUGAGAGAAGUCUUACUUAUUUAUUUGUUUUUAUCAUAUUCUUGUCCUUGACAGAUUGACAAGAUAAUACUUACAAUAUCAGAGCUUUGUUUAAUCUUGAUUAAGAAUAGAUUACUCCUUUCUCUUGAUAAGACAUAAGCAUAUUAAAAGUUACAAAUUACCCUCUUGUAAAUUGAUAUUGUCCUUAGUAUUUUCUUUGUUCUCAAGUCCUCUCUUCUAUUUGUUUUGAGCGAUAUUAGACAUCUUCUCUUUUUUAAGUGUUAUCAUGGCAGAACUUACUGAAAUGAAGAAUACAAUAGCACAAAUGUAAGAGCAAUUGAGGGAGUUAAUACUUGCGAUGCAUCAACUCAAUUUACCACCACAAAGAGCAAUAAGAUUGGCACGAAGUGAAGAUAUAGAAAUGAUUGGAGUUGCUUCAACAUCUGUACCAAAUCAUAUCCCUUCUCCUAUGGUGGAACGCCCUUCCAGUAUUAGAGAACCAAGAAUUGCCCUACCCAAGAAGUUUGAUGGCACCAAAUCAAAGUUUUGAGGAUUUAUCAAUCAAGUACAACUUAUGAUUAAACUUCAACCCCAAAGCUAUCCAAUUCUAGGAUCGUAAGUUAGAUUCAUUAGUACGCUUCUUUCACGUUCAAUAAUAUCAUGAUUUUUAUCUUUUCUUGAACAACAAGAUCCAAUAUUGGAUAAUCUAGAGGCUUUUUUGGUAGAGUUUUGAUCCAUGUAUGGAGAACAUGAUGUAAUUCAUGUUGCAACUAAUAAGAUUCAUAUUUUACUAUAAGAUAAUCGAUCAGUAAUGUUGUGUGCUUUACAAUUUUGAAAACUUGCAACUGAUAUCAAGUAGGAUGAUACUGCACUUAUUAGCCAAUUUUUCAACGGAUUACAAUAUGAGGUAAAAAAAUUAAUGCUCAACUUACUUGAUCCUCAAACAUUGAGUCAAGCAAUUGACUUUAUUGUAAAGUGUGACAAUCGCCUUUUUGAAUUUUGAUCUAAGAACCAUACAAGUAGACCUCAAUAUUACUAUGAUUCAAUAGCAACACCAACAUCUCUUCAAUACAUACAUUCGGAAGUAGAAAAUAUACAAAUUGAUGCAAUACGUUUCAAACCUCUUAUUGAGCAAGAAAAGACUUGCCAUCGUCAAGAAAGAUUGUACUUAUAUUAUAAAAAACUUAAGCACACUGCUCAAUAUUGUCCAAAGAAAUGAUGCAACUAUAAAAUGAGGUAUACGGCGAUCAAAAGAGAUAGCAUGUCAAAAAACGAAUUUGUCCAAUUACAAUAGGGAUCGUGCAGUUGGAACCUUGUACAAUGCCUAGUGAAGGUCCUAUCUUCUCCUCAGAACCCUCUCCAUGUUUUACGAUAAAUGUUAUUCUAGGACCUAAAUAUCUCAAAGCCUCUACCUUACUAGAUUCAGGAGCCUCAGCAUGUUUCUUAGAUGAAAAAUUUGUUAAAAGACAUAGCAUAUUUUUAAUAAAGAAAAUUAUCAUGUUCAUGUAGAAGUCAUAGAUGGUCGUCUGUUGUCUUCAAGAGAUGUUACUUAUGAAACCCUUCCUAUAGAAAUAGCAACUAAUGGUCAUAGUAGCUUUGUAAUAUUUAAUAUCAUUAGAUCUCCUUUUAAUCCACUCAUUUUAGGUUUAUCAUGGCUAAAAAAAUAUAAUCCUAAAAUAGAUUGGAUUUCUUGUAGUCUUGAUUUUUUUGAAAGUAUAACUAAGAGUGUAGUUAAUUAAGUAGAAAGUCAUAAGUCUAGUAUAAUUAAACCUAUAUUUGUAGGUAUCAGUGCUUUCUUGCAUGCUACAAAAGAAAGAUCCCCUUAUGUCAUUUAUGCCACACUCGUUUCUACUGGUGGAAAGGCUUCAAGUGGCAUUCCAAGCUAAUAUAAAGAUUUUCAAGAUGUAUUUGAGAAAAAGAAUGUGAAUACUCUUCCAAAACAUCAUUCCUAUGACUGUUCAAUUGACCUUCAAGAAGGAGCACAACCGCCAUUUGGACUAAUCUACAAUUUAUUUCAAAAUGAGUUGGCUAAACUCAAAGAGUAUAUUGAAGAUAAUUUGGCCAUAAACUUCAUACGCCAUUCCAAAUCUCCAGUAGGAGCUCCAAUUUUAUUUGUGAAGAAAAAAGAUGGAUCAUUGUGGAUGUAUGUUGAUUAUUGAGGACUCAACAAAAUCACUAUAAAAAAUAGGUACCUGCUACCUUUGAUAUCUGAACUUCUUGAUCAGUUGAAUCAAGCUAAGAUCUAUACAAAAAUAGAUCUACGGGGCGCAUAUAAUUUGGUACACAUCAAAAAAAGGAGAUGAAUAGAAGACUACGUUUCAAACAAGGUAUGGACAUUUUGAAUACAACAUCAUGCCUUUUGGACUUACAAAUGCACCAACAGCAUUCUAACAUCUAAUGAAUGAUGUCUUUUGGAAGUUUUUAGAUGAUUUUGUUGUCUAUUACCUAAACGACAUCUUAAUCUAUUCUAAGAACUCAGAAGAAUAUGAACUUCAUGUUUGCCAAAUAUUACAAAAAAUAAGAGAUGUAAGACUCUAUGCCAAGAUAGAAAAGUGUAUAUUUCACACUACUCAAGUUGACUUCUUAGGAUACAUCAUUUCAAAUGAUGGACUUAUGAUGGAUCCUAAGAAAAUUCAAACUAUUAUGGAUUAGAAGAUUCCAAAAAUGGUAAGAGAUGUCCAAUACUUUUUGGGAUUUGCUAAUUACUAUCAGAUCUUCAUCAAAGACUUCUCUCAAGUCGCAGCUCCACUUACACGUUUGACUUGCAAAAACAAACUUCAAUGGAAUCAAGAAGCAGAAGUAGCAUUUGAAGUUUUGAAGACAACCUUUGUUUUUGUACCAAUCUUGUAUUGCGUCGAUUUUUCUAAGCCAUUUUUUAUGGAAAUAGAUGCAUCAAACUUUGCUUUGGAUGCCGUAUUGUCACAAAUGGAAAUACAUGAUAAACUUCAUCCAAUAACUAUUCAUUCCAAAAAAAUUUCAACAAUCGAGAUCAACUAUGAGAUCCAUAACAAAGAACUUCUUAUAAUCGUGGAUUCAUUUUAAGAAUGAUGCCAUUAUCUAGAAGGUGCUUCUAGCCUAGUCACAAUGUAUACAAAUCACAAGAAUCUUGAAUAUUUUAUGGCAGCACAUGAUUUGAAUUAUCGCCAAGUUCGCUGAAGUAUGAUUUUAUUAAGAUUCGAAUUCAAGAUCACUUAUCGACUAGAAAAAAAACAAGGUUUAUCAGAUGUACUCUCUACACGAUCUUACCUUACACCAAAGGAAAGAAAUGCUGCUUUUGAUUAACAACGGAUAAUUCUCUUGAAGCCAGAGCAUCUUCAUCUUCGAGCAAUGAAAUCAAUACUAACUAUUGAUUCAACUUUCAUUAAGUAAGUUUAAUUAAGUAUGUCUUUUGAUCCUCUUAUUCGUGAUAUUAAGGAAAAUCCUUCAAAGUCUCAUGAUACUUCCAAGUUUGAAUUCAAGAAGAAUCUACUAUAUUUUGAGAGAUGCCUAUAUGUUCUAGAAAGUGAAGCUUGAUUACGUAUUCUUCAAGCUCGUCAUGACUUUCUAACAGUAGAACAUUUUGGGUACAAUAAAACUUUGGAACUAAUAUCUAGGAAUUUUUCAAGGGCAUAAAUGUGGAAAGCAAUUAAAGAUUUUGUACAAUCUUAGGAUGUUUGCUCGAGAUCAAAAACUCCUCAUCAUUGACCUUACGGACUUCUUCAACCAUUAUCCAUUCCAGAACAACCAUGGUCUUCUAUUUCUAUGGAUUGCAUCAUAGAUCUUCCAAUUUCAAGUUUUUAUGACUCUAAAUUCAUGAUAGUAGAUCAUUUCACCAAGAUGGCACAUUUUGUACUAUAUACAAAAUCUAUCACAGGUAAAGAAACAGCUAAGCUCUUUCUCGAUAAUAUCUAUUACUAUCAUGGAUUAUCCAAAGAUAUUAUAUCAGAUAUGGGAAUUCAAUUUGUAUCAAGAUUUUGGCGGACUCUUUUCAAGAUUCUAAAAGUGGAUAUAAAACUAUCUUCAACAUUCCAUCCUCAAAUUGAUGGACAAACGGAGCGUGUUAAUCAAGUUUUGGAGCAGUAUUUAAAAUGUAACAUUAACUACCAACAAGAUGAUUGGACAACUCUUUUGCCAUUGGUAAAGUUUGCUUACAAUAAUACAAUACAUUUUUCUACAAAACAAACACCUUUCUUUGCCAAUUAUGGUUAUCAUCCAUGACUUGAUACUUUUGACUUUUUAAAAGUUGUUAAUCUUGUUGCGAAAGUUUUGGCAAUUCAUUUAUCAGAACUACAUGCAACGAUAAAGGUACAGUUAAAAGAAGCUCAAGAACAAUAAAAGGUCAAUGUGGAUGUCUAUCGAAAGGAACAACUACCAUUCUACAUGGGUGAUGAGGUAUGAUUACUUUAUUGCAAUAUCAAGAUCACUCGUCCUUGUAACAAGAUGGACUAUCAAAGGCUUGGAUCAUUUUCUAUUUCUGCAUAAAUCAAUCCAGUUGCAUAUCGUUUACACCUACUGGAGUCAAUGAAAAUCCAUCUGGUGUUCCAUGUGUCUCUUUUUGAACCAUACAAGACAAUGGACAUACCAAAAAGAAGAGAAGCUCCACCUCCUCCUAUAGAAGUGGACAAUAAUGAAGAGUUUGAAAUAAAAGAAAUCUUAGAUUCAAGGUGGCACUGAAAUAAAUUGAAAUAUCUUAUCCAUUGAUACAGAUAUGAUAUUAGUGAACGCACAUAAGAGCCAAUAAAGAAUCUUGCAAAUAUAGCAAAGGUGGUAGAGGCUUUUCAUCGACGACAUCCAUCAAAAUCAAGAUGAAAACCUUUUUUAUAAAAGAAACAAGAUCUAGGCAAGAUAAUAUUCUAAUUCGAAUACUUGUUUGUAGCUUUUUUGUAGUUGUGACACUCAUGAGAUGGAGAACCAGCAACCAAUGGAUUCGACUCAAGAGCCUUCAUUUGUUGACUUGUUGGACGAGAUAUUAUGAUUGUCACAACCUUCAAGAUGAUGCAAUCGAGAUGAAGAUCUUCAAGAACGAUAUAUUCUUCCUCGAAUAGAUGGUGAGAUACAAUGCGUUAGGUAUCACGACCUUGGAAGGGACUUCCAAUGUUUGGUGAUUUUACUAGAGGUAGAAACACUUCCUGAUGGUAUUCUAAAUGUUUUAUUCGAAGGAAGUUAUGAAGGCAUCAACAAUGAUUAAAUAACUGGGUGGUCUUCCCACACUGGUAUGGAACACUACCGAUGGUUGAGAGGCCCUAUCAAUCAUCUUCGAAGAGAACAAAGAUCAAAGUAUGUGGCAAAUACAAUUUGUCACAUCAUAGAUUUCGUCAACAUAUGAUUACCGCUCCUCGUGGAACUCGUCCCUAGAAAGGGAGGUAAUGUCAUGGACAUAUGCAUGUAAGCCAAUAAUUACAUGUAUAAAUAAGUAGAAGUAAGUAAAAGUAGAUAAAAAUAAGUUAAUUCUAUAGUAUUUGGUAUAAAAGCUUCCUAGAAGCUUCAUAGAUGCUGCUUUGACUUUAUAGGUGUCUUUAAUUGACUUAAUAUAUAUAUCAAGUUAUUUCUAUUUUGUCAUCUUUCUUUGAGAGAAGUCUUACUUAUUUAUUUGUUUUUAUCAUGUUUUUGUCCUUGACAGAUUUUUAUUCUAAAAAUAUUUUAAUAGCCAAAAUCAAUUACAAGAUCUACAACAAAGAUUUUUUUGAAAUCGUAGAUUUAUUUCAAAAAUAGUACUAUUAUUUAGAAGACACUUCUAAACCAAUCACAAAGUAUAUAAAUCACAAGAAUCUUGUAUAUUUUAUGUCAUUAUGUAUUUUGAAUUGUCAUCAAGUCUAUUAGAGUAUGUCCUUAUCAAGACUCAAAUUCAAGAUUACUUAUUAAUCAAAAAAAUAACAAGAUUUAUUAGAUGCAUUUUCUAUAGAAUCUUAUCUCGCACCAAAGGAAAGAGAUGUCACUUUUGAUCAACAAUGGAUAAUUUUUUUAAAGCUAAAGCAUCUUUAUUUUUAAGUAAUGAAAUCAAUAUUAACUAUUGAUUCAACUUUCUUUAAGUAAGUUUAGUCAAAUAUGUCUUUUGAUUUUCUUAUUUGUGAUAUUAAAAAAAAUAUUUCAAAGUCUUAUGAUAUUUCUAAGUUUGAAUUCAAGAAUAAUAUAUUAUAUUUUGAGAGACACUUAUAUGUUCCAAAAAGUGAAGCUUGAUUAUGUAUUUUUCAAGCUCAUCACGACUUUUCAACAGUAAGAUAUUUUGGAUACAAUAAGACUUUGGAGCUAAUAUUUAGAAAUUUUUGGUGGCCUCAAAUAUGAAAAGAAAUCAAAGAUUUUGUACAAUCUUGUAAUAUUUGUUCAAAAUCAAAAACUCCAUGUUAUCGAUCUUACAAAUUUCUUCAUCUAUUAUCCAUUCCAAAACAACCAUGGUCUUUUGUUUCUAUAGAUUUUAUUACGAAUCUUUUAGUUUUAAGUUCUUAUGAUUCUAUAUUUGUGAUAAUGGAUUGUUUCAUGAAGAUUUCAUAUUUUUUUUACAAUGUACAAAAUCUAUUACAAGUAAAGAAAUAGUUAAGUUUUUCCUUAACAACAUCUAUUACUAUCAUGGAUUAUCUAAAGAUAUUAUAAUGGAUAAAAAAACUUAGUUUAUAUUAAGAUUUUUAAAAAUACCUUUUAAGAUUUUAAAAUUAGAUAUAAACUAUCUUUGGCUAUCUAUCCUCAAACUAAUAAACAAAUAAAGUAUAUAAAUCAAGUUUUGGAGCAAAAUAUGAGAUUUACUAUCAAUAAGAUAAUUGGAUAAUUUUUUUGCCAUUGAGAGAGUUUACUUAUAAUAAUAUUUUACAUUCUUCUAUGUAAAAAAUACCUUUCUUUGCUAAUUAUGGCUAUCAUUUAUAACUUGAUGUUUUUGACUUUUUAUAAGUUGAUAAUCAUAUGGUGAAAGAUUUGACAAAUCAUUUAUUUGAACUAUAUAGAACAAUGAAGGCAUGACUAAAAGAUGAUCAAGAACAAGAAAAGAUCAACACAGAUGCCUAUUACAAGCAACAACCUCAUUUUCACAUUUGUGCUAAGAUAUGGUUACUUUGCCAUAAUAUUAAAACUAUUUGCUCUUAUGAUAAGUAAGAUUAUUGUAGAUUUCAACCAUUUCUUAUUUGUAAAUAAGUCAAUCUAGUUGUUUAUUGAUUAUAUCUAUCAAAGUCUAUGAAAAUCCAUGUCAUAUUUCACAUGUCUCUUUUGGAUCUAUAUAAAAUAGUAAAUAUUUUGGAAAGAAUAUAAAUACCACUACUUCUUAUAAAAGUAAACAAUAAUAAAAAAAUUCAAGGUAAAAGAAGUCAUAGAGUCAAGGCAAUGCUAAUUUAAAUUAGAAUAUCUUAUUCAUUGGAGUAGUGUCAAGCUCUAAUAUGACUAUAUGAUAAAAAUAUAAUCAAAAAGGAAUUUUUAAUUAAUAUUUAAUUAUCUUAAUUCAAUGAUAAUUUAAAAUAUUUAAACAUGACUUUUUAAAAAGCCUCUUAAUUUAUUUUCUUAUAUUAAUAGCUAAUAGAUUAAAAGUUGGUUGGUAAUUUUAUCUUUUAGGCUAUAGAAACUCUUUUAUUACAUUAGAAAGGCCAUAAAUUAAUAAAAUUAUAUUAUAAUAAGUAAAUAAUUAACAUGGUUGAUACUAGGAUUAAGUUAGAGAUAAGGUUGGGCUAAAAAAUCCCUAAGAUAGGUUAAAUUGAUACUCAAGGAUCAACCAUUUGUGGGACAAGGGCAAAAUCUGACCUCUAGCCAUUAAAAUGGUUGUUCAAGAAAAAAUAGAAAAGGUAUUUGAAGAUCGGAAAAUAAGAUUAGUGAAUUAGAUUCAAGCUUAUUCUAAAUGUAUAAGGUUUAUUUUCAAAGGAUUUGGAAUGACUUUGUAAUUAUUAUUCAAAGUCAAGGUUUAUAUUAGUGAUUUGGAAUUUAUGCAAUAUAAUUAAGGCUCGCACUCUUGGCUAGUUUGUGCAAUUGGUGUCACAUCCCCAAUUCAAACUUUAAUAAUGCUUGGUUUAUUAAGUAUCUUAAGUAUUUGUAAAAUUUUAUAUUAAUCUAAUGAUGCAAUUGGAAGAUAUUUGAGUUUUGAUACAAGAGGAUAUUAGAAGUUGGCAAUUUGGAAUUAGAUAGGAUUUCGAUAAUAUAUAGAAUUCUACUAGUUGGAUAAAGGUGAAAUUUGUUAUGAUGGUAAAAGAAUUCAAUGUUAAACUACACAUUAAUUUUGAAUUGAAGUUAAUUAUUGAAGAAGGAGAAAUUGCAAUUAGAACAUUUGCAUCAACUUUCAAGUUGAUGGCCAAGUGACAUCAAUGUGGUUUUUUGGCUUUUUUUGACAAUUUGUAAGUAGGAUUAGAUUGAAUUUUUUUUGAAUACAUAAAAGGCUUAUAGUGGCAUUUCUAUGCAAAAUUUUGCAUCAAGUGGACAAUCAAAUUAGAAGUUAUAGCUCACCAAAACUCACUAAUAAAUAUUAAGGCUUGUAAGGAGAAAUCAAAAUUACCUAAUUAUGAAAGUAAUAAGACGAUUGGGAUUUAGGUAUGGUUGAGAUUACUAAAAAGAGAAUUUUUGAAUACUUUGUAUUAGCUUUAAGCACUUUUGAAUUAAAAUUCGAAUUGUAUUCUUCUUAUAUGUGUGAAAUCUAUUAGGAUUUUUUGAAUAUUUGUAAAAUAUAACUUCACCUUCCACAGCCAAGUGCUUAGUGUAUUCUCAAACAAGACAACACAUAUUACAACAAUGAAUAAAAUAUUAGCCAAUAUAUAUGGAGGCCAACAAAAAAUCUUACAAAUAUAGUAAAAAAAAGUCAAAGCUUUUCAUCAAUGAUACCUUUAAAACUAAGAUGAAGAAUAGCAAACUUUUUCUAUAAAUAGAAUAUAAUUUAGAAAAGAUUGUAUUCUCUCUUUUAUCUUUGUUUGUAAUUUUUAUAUAAUUGUGGUAUUAAAGAGAUGGAAAAUCAAUAGCCAACAUGUUCAAGUUAAGAGCCAUCAUUUAUUGACUUACCAAAUGAGAUAUUAUGAUUAUCAUAUAUUAAUAUAUACAUUUAUAUUUUCUACCUAAGAAUAUAUUUAAACAUGGCUACAUGAUUUUGAAAUUUUUGGAAGUUGCAAUAAAAUAAUUAUAUAUACCUAUGUUUAAUUUUUAAUUUUAAAUAAUUUUUUUUAUUAAAUGAUGCUUUCUCAAUAUAUGAUUCUUUUUCAAAAUAUUCAAUCUUGAGUAUUAAUACUAAAAAAUAAAAUUAAUAAUAAUUUAUAUUUUGAAAUUAUAAAAUAUAGGUUGUCCAAUUUUAUAUAUAUAUGUUAAAAUAAUUUGCAAUCAAAUACAAUCUUUGCCACAAAUGAUGUAUUUUAUAAUUUUUCCAAUCUUAUGUAAUCACCAUCCUCAAAUGCAAUCACAUAACCACAGAAUCCUUAAACAAACACUCCAUAAAAAAAUUAAAAUAUAAUAAAAUCAAGAUAAAAAGAAAAAAAACAAAAUCAUUUACAAAUCAAUUUUAAUAAUUCCCUUAAACAGCAUAAAAUAAUAAAAAUCCAUAUAAAAUAAAGGUUAUCAUGAAAACAAUAAAAUCAAUCAAUCAUUUAUAAAUAUAAAUAUAAAUAUAUAAAUAUAUUUAUAUUUUCAUAUACAUACACACGUGUAUGUAUUUAUUUUGCCAAAACUCAUAAAAUUCACAAAACAUCAUUCAUUACAUUCUUGAGCACUUCACCACAAACCACUAUUGUUUUUGUUUGUGUUUUUGUGUUUUGAGUGAUUUUCUUUCUUUCUUUCUUUCUUUCUUUCUUGCUUACUUUAUUUCUUUCUAUUGUUUGUAUAUUAGUGCUUUUGCAACUCUUGUUUUCCCUUCAUAAUCUAUGAAAACCUCAUGGAGCAUAUUGCAUUCGUGUUUUCUGAGGCUUGGUUUUGAGAGAUUGUCGAUGUCUAGGGAGAAGAAAAGAAGAGGCUUUGCUCCAUCUGCUCACUCGCUCGCUCGUAGCGGCAAGUUGCAACGUCGGAGGGAAUCGAGAGCUGGGGUUUGAAGGCUUGCAUCCUCAAUGAAUGAGUUUCCAUCGUCAUGAACUUGAAGGAUUCGUUGCAAACCAGGCUGCUCGUCGUUUCUUGCUCGAUCUGAGCUGUGUCUGCCCUGCAUUUUGUUGUCUUCGUCUGUGUUCUCAACGCGGCUUGGCUAUGGAAAGUCGCCUGGAUUGCACUUCGUUUGGAAGCAUGUUUGUUUUUUUUCUUUCUACGCCGAAAGUGGGGUCGUGCUCAAUAUGUUUUGGGUGGUGUGACGCAUUGAUGGUCGCAGUAUUUUGCUACCCAUACCUGUCUUUGCACUCUUUCCUCACCUGAUACUUGCCUUGGCCUGGUUGUUGAUAGACGAAUCAUGGUGAUGCUCUGUACCUUUUCGAGAGAAUUGGGUGUCUUGGAUUGGAUCGAACUCUCUGAACGAUCACUUCUGGCGAUAGGUUGUGAAGUGUACUGAGAAGGAAAUUCAAGUUGCUUGUAGGGGUGUUUGUUGUUGGAGGUUUGAUGAGGAAUGGAAGUGGCGACAGUGUUGUGGAGCACUGGGAGGUGUAGAUGUUGGUGCAUGUGUUUAGAUUGUAAAUAGGAGGCCGGGUGGCUGAGACCAAUGUGACCCUCGUUCUUGUGACCAUUUCUCUUGUUUUUGAAUGGAAGUGCAGGAUUGGAAUUGUGACAUGUCAAGUAAUAAAAACAAAAAAACAAAACCAUCAUGGUGGUCCCGAUUCUGACAUGAUAUGUACUUGGGAGGACUCUGCAGCCCUAGGGCUUGGAUGCCACUCCCAAAUGUUAAUUCCUACUCGCCCGCUUCUUUGGCUGUUUUACUCGCUGCGAAAAUACACCGGAUUCAAUCUUCAACGAAAAGGUCCCCAAUCCUUUGAAGCACGUGGAUUGGGUAGAGUAAAUACCCGAUUUAACCAUCAACAGAAAAGUCUAUAUAAGUCUUUGAAGCAGGUGGAUUAGUAAAUGACAGACCUGUUUUAGAAUAGAGAGGGAGAGAGAUUAGGAGGAGAAGGUGGAGGAAGAAGAAGAAGACAAUCGGUUCUCCGUUGGAGCUAAUAUGUGCAAAAUAGCUUACCGGCUCCUGUGUAUAGCAGCUGGAGUGUUGUAUCUCUUCGAUCAUGAGUGUUCCUGUUCGUUGCUUCAGGGCAAGCUUCUUAAACUGGUUUCAACUAAAUGACCAAUGUCUCAAUCGAUCUUUUGUUAGGCAACAAGUUUGUCGGAUUCUUUCCCUGUUAAAAUACCUAUUUGAAAACAUCAGUAACCGGAGCUUUUGGGGUGGCUAUGAAAAUUUUCAUUACGUGUCUUACCGCCUACUCACUCUUUGAUUAACGACGUGCCAGAGAUCCACAAGGUUUUUUUUUACAGGAAAGCAGGGUGAUCAAAUUGGGGAGGAAUGUACGCAAAUUUAUGCCUGGAACACUGUCAUCACUUAUUUGUCACGCUGAUGCAGCUUCAACACGUCAGAAAGAGAAUUCAAGAUUCCCUCAGCGUAAUAAAGUGAUUAGCGCGUGGAGGAAACUUAGAGCACAGGUUCAAGGGAUUCAGUUGAACUAACACAUCUUGCUGCACGCUUAAGACACUCUCUUCCCUCGUCUGUGUAUCCAUCUUGCGGUUUCGGAUGCAGGCAGGUCAUUGGUGAGUUGGGAUGCGUUAAGCUGGGUGCAGUUGCAUGAAUUACAAAUGUUCAGACGAUUUGCUGCUAAAUGUUUACCCCUCCUCAUACCAUUAUGUCAUGGUGCGCGUCCUUACGAAGUUGCCUCGUGCUCUCUCUCUCUCUCUCGUGACUAGAGCCUAGCCUGAGCAUGCUGAAGGCCAUGAUGCAGAUGUCAAGGAGUCGACAGAGCUCGAUGAUUCUUGUAGGUGUCUUGUUAGAGUCAAUUCUAAAUUUAAGUGCGGUAGAAGGGAUUUCGGAAUAUCAUGUCGACAAUACAAGCGGCUCGAUCAUUGACAGUGGAGGCAGGGAGCGGGUAUUUCAUGGAUUGAAUGUCGUUAUGAAAGCAUUUCCUUGGCAUCCUCGCACAGACGAGUUUGAUCCGCAGUUCUCCUUCACAGACGUCGACAUAGCCCUCCUGCGCAGUUGGGGUGUGAAUGUUGUCCGCCUGGGUGUGAUGUGGCCCGGCGUCGAGCCACAACGUGGCCAGGUGAACCAGACGUACAUCGAGGUCAUGCGGACGGUUGUUCGAAAACUUCAUGCAGCUGGCAUUGCCACGCUCCUUGAAUUCCACCAGGAUCUUCUCUCGUCAAGAUUUUGCGGGGAAGGCAUACCUUCUUGGGUUCUUGAUAAUACCAACCUCGGUGGGACGGAUUCUGAGAACCUCCUGGCUGAGAUAAAUGACGUUAGUUCGUCAUCAGCAGGCAGUAGUUCGACUUGGUGGAGAAUUUUGAGAGACAUUGUCGUAAACUUCAUUCCCUCUCUCUUGAUGCAGUCUUCGAGAUAUGAGUCAAACCACAGGGCCUCAACAUUCAGCGCCUCCAAGAGCUUUAUCGAAUCCUUCCCAGAGCCUCUAAGUGGAAGAUGGCCACUACCAGAUUCACCAGGAGAUAGUUCUCAUGAGCAGCAACCAUCGGACGAGCAAUGCGACAAACAUUCCUGGGCUUGGUACUACUUCUCUUUCGCAGUGUCGAGAGCUUUCCAGAGCUUGUAUGACAACAAAUGGGGCUGGGCAGAUUUGUUUGCAAACUACUGGCAAAUUGUUGCAACGUCCUUCCGUGAUCAGCCCGGAAUUUUGGGAUACGAGCUCAUCAACGAACCAUGGGCAGGAGACAUGUACCGCAAUCCACUCUUGAUGGUGCCAGGAGUGGCGGAUUACCACAAUCUUGCUCCAUUCUACGAAAAACUGCAGUCAUCAAUUCGAUCUGUCGACCCCGACAGAAUUCUUUUCAUGGAGUCUAUCACAUUUGAAGACAUCCGUUGUGGAUUCUCAACAGUCCCAGGAGGAGCACAGUUUCAGAACCGAACUGUGUUGAGUUAUCAUUUCUAUCAACCUCCUAAUGUGAAUUCCCGUCAAGCCAUCCGCGAGCGUCUGCGGGAAAGCAAGAAGCUGGGGUGUGGUGCCAUGCUGACGGAGUUUUUUGUGGCAGAUCAAGGUGCAAUCUCUCCUCGAAACUCGUGGAAUCUAUUCAACGCAGACAGGGUGGAUGAUGUGCUUGCCGAAGCAGAUGCUCACAAACAGUCCUGGAUCGCAUGGGAGUAUAAAGCCUUUCAGGUCAAGACAGGCUCCGUUGUGGAGCAGUCUCUCUUCACAUCUUCCGGGGACGUGAACCUGUUGCUGGCCAAGAAGCUCGCCAGGACAUACCCUCAAGCUGUGGCAGGCACCAUAUUGUCAUUCUCCUUCGAACUCAUCUCCUCCGACUUCACCCUCUCCUUCAUUGCAGGUCGGCCUUCUGCAAGUGGUGGUAUAUCCCACCAGACGCAGGUUUUUGUCCACAGGCCGUUUUACUAUCCCUCGGGACUUGCAUUUUCUGUGAACCAUGAUUGUGUUCAAGUGCAAGAAACAGAGAGAUUGAUCAUAUUGAGCCACUCUCAGGCUUGUGCGGGGUUCACAGUUUCUCUCAAGAUAAGUAAAAAGCCUGUCCAAAAUUUUUGAACUGGUAUUUGAGCCAUGAUCUCUCCUUCCGUUGCUUUCUUCCAGCAAUGCUGUGUUUCUCAACUGAGGUAUAUGUGGGUAUUGUCACUGAAUGAAGUGAGAUGAUGCACACUAGUUAGUUCCCUGGCAGUGCACUAGUUAUUCUUCAUGAACGUCAUGUUGUGAUUGCGAGACUGCCCAACAUGUGAUGAUCUCCCCAUCAAAUUCACUCUUCAGUCCUCUCAAAAGACCUGUCAGUCUUUCUCACACUCUCUUUUAUCUUGUACCUUUGUCUUCCACCUCACUUCUUGAACAUCCCUGUCCAUUCUGUUGUCUUCAAACAUUCAGAGAUGUUCCAAACGAUGAGAAUCGAAUUUGAUUGUUCUGCUUCUGAAAUCAUUGGCUGGUUGGAGCAACGUUACCAAAUGUACUUUAGCUGACAAUGCCGGUCGAUUCUUCAAAAUGUGGGUUAGAAGAAGCACAAAAACUGUUCUUGUGUGUUGAGAAAGCUGGACUGUGCAGAUCGGGUCGACUUUUAUAUUGUUGUCCAAUCUCAGAUACUUUACGAAGUUGAAGACACGGUUGUCAAAUCCCACACAAUUGUGUAUUCAACUUUUAGCCGAGUCAUGCCACAAAGACCAUCAAACUGUCAAUUUAUGUCGGAAUUGUAUGAUAGAAAAGUUGUAAGACCCUGCAUGAAAUUGAAGUAUGGGUUCAGAAAUUAAAAAUUUUACAAUAUAUAUUAAUGUGUAAUUUGAUAUUUUAUAUAUUUAAAAUUAUACCUAUAAAAAAUUUAAAUAGAUUUUUAUACUUGUAUUUGUAUUUUUAGUAUUCUUUAAAACUAAGCUCUCAUUUAAACUUUUGUUGUUUACAUAAGAUCAAUCUAUUAUUACUUUUUUGUCAUUUCAUUAUGGACAUAUUUUUUUAAUUAAUUUAUUAAAUUAUAGGUAUUUAUUUUUAAAUAAAAAUAUACAUAUGUAUAUAUAUAUAUAUAUAUAUAUAUAUUAAUUUUUAUAAUAAUAAGUAAUUAUUUUUAAUGAUUUAAUUUCUAUUUUCGGCUUUAUUAAUAAUAUGAUUUAAGUAUUAAAUUAUUUAUCUAAAUAUUUUUUUGUUAUAACUAUUUAUUUAUUAGAAUUUUUGUGUAUUUUGGUUCAAUAAUAAGUAGUAAAAAUUAUUGAUGGCUUCUAAACAUAUCCUAUUAAGUUCCAUUAAGUGAUUAUUAAAUCCAUUCUAUUUAGCUUCUAGGUUGAGUAAUUUGUAGCUUAUUGACAAGUUCAAUAGAGUUUUAUUUGGAAUUUAAAAGGAUAUAUUUUGAUAAAAUCUAUAAUUAUUUAAUUUUUAUGUUAAUCAAUAUAUUACAUCAAAUAACAUUAAAAUAAAAAAAAUAAAAAAAUAAACUACAAUUGUAAGAACCUUCUCAAAUCUUCCAAUCAUUUAUACAAAUAUUUAUAAACUUUUAGAAGCUUAAUGAUUUUUUGAAUUUUUUUUGUAAGAGUCUAAAGUAUUUUUAGUUUAUUUAUAGCUUCUACAAUCUUCAAUAAUUAUCUAAAACCUUCCAAAGUUUUCUAUAAAAUUUCAUAAUAAAUAUUUUAGACUUAUAAGGUUCUUGGAGCUUCUAUUAAACUUAGUAAUAUUAAUAUAAAUAGGAGAGCAAGACAAAGGCAAGUUUAGUCUUAUUAAUACCAAUUUUGGAGUUGCCAAAGUAUUAUUUUGCUUCUAGUACUAUGUUUGAUCUAUUUUAGAAUAUAAUUUUGUUUUUCUUAUGAUUUUUGAUCUUAUUGUUCUUUUUUAAGUUGUGAAUUUUGUUUUAUAUAGGAGAAUUUCCUUGCUUUUUGAAAGAAAAUAUCAUAUCUCAAAGGUUGAAAAAUAUUUACUUUUGACAAUGUAUCUUAUAUUUGAAUAGUCUAUUAAACUUGCAUGUUUACAUAUUUAUAAAAAAAUUGAUAAUGCUAAAAGUAUAUAAAAAGUCAUUUGGCCUUUAACAAACAAUAGUAAUAUAAAAGAUCUACAAUAGUUUGGUAUAUGUCAUAAACUUAUUAGUUUGAAAAAUUAAUAAAUUAGAUAUUGUGAGACAUUAUCUUUUCUAUAUAUAUAUAUAUAUAUACAUAUAUUUUAGAAAUUUUAGAAAAUAAUAUGUUUUCUUUUGUUAAUCAUGUUUGGCACCUAAUAAAGAUAUUGUCUUGAAUAAAAGAUGAUAGUUUAUUUUUAUUAUUUAAUAAAUAUAAUUAAACUUAAAUUCAUUAUUUUAAGUUAUAUUUUGAAAUUUUGAUUGAUAAAUUUUAGUCUUAUUUUGCCUAGAUAAUUUAUCAAUCAAAAUUUCAUAGCAUAUAUAUAUAUAUAAAAAUAUGUAUUUAUUUAUUUAUUUAUUUAUUUAUUUAUUUAUUUAUUUAUAUUUAUAUUAAAAUAAUGAAUGAACAUCUAGUUAGUGAUGCAGAUGAUAAUUUUGAGUUUGAAGAAAGAUUACUUUAUUUUAAAAACAUGUUAUAAAUGAUUUUGAGAUCCACACAACCUUGUGUAGUUUAAGCAUGCUACAACCUAUUUAUUUUAAUAAAACAACCAAAUUCAUAUUAAAGAUUUAUUAGUAGCUACAAAUACAGAAGUUUGUAAAAAAAUAUAUUUGAUCUUGUAACACAUAUUCAAGAACCAGGGUUGUAAGACAUCAAGCAAAUGCUUUAUUCCAAUUACUUCUUACUUUGAGAAAAUUAUAGUCAUAAUUAUUACUGGAUUUUUUAGAUUUUUUAAUUUCUAAUUGCAACAACUUAAAUUUGAUAGCUUUAGAUUAAUCUUGUUAAGAUGAUUCAUUUUAUUAUUGUAAUUAGAUUUGUCUUAAGGAAGAAACAAAAUACUUCUAAUAAUUUCUACAAUAUUUACAUACGUAUUUUAAAAUAGUGUGACAAUUUAUAAAAAAAUUAAAUAGUAUUGAAUUUUAUAAAAAACAUCUUAAAUUUUAGAUGUUAAGAACCUAUCUAAAAAAAGUCAUCUACAAACAAAUGUCAAACAUAACAUAUAAACCAAUUUUAAAUAAACUAUUUAAAUAUUUGUCUUAUAGUAUAAAUAAUUAAAAAAUAAUCGAAUGAAUUUAUUUCCAUUCAUAGAAUCUGCUUACAACAGAGGCACAUAUUCAUCAACAUAACAAACUCCAUUCUUUUUAAAAUCAGAGCUACUAAAUUUCAGUAAAUACUUCUCAAAAUCAAAGAUGUUGGAAGCCUGAUUUCAAAAAAAUUAACAAUCAUUUCCGUGUCAUUCAAAAAUAAUUAAAAAAUCAUCUUCAUGAAGCUCAGAGUUAAUACAAAAUUAAUGUAAAUUAUUACUAAAAGCCUACCCUAUGUUUUGAAUAAAAGAUUUUUUUAAUUUUUAUUGAUAAAAUUUAAAAAAUAAAUAAUUAUUCAAAAACUAAGACUAUCAAUGUCAAAGAUAUGAAUCAACAAAAAAUAAGUAUAAUCAUAGAUGUCCAAUUAAAUGUUAAUUAUUUUUUAAUGUAAAAUAUAGAAGACAUAGAUUUCUACAACGAUAAAGAUCUAAAAUAAUUAUUGCAAAAUGCAAAGAUUAAGGCUUUUGGAUCAAGGGUGCCCAAGAAUUAACAUCAGGAGUUUAGUUAAUCAACAUGUGUUACCUAUCUAGAAUUGACCUUUUUGGGCAGCAUUUGGAAUUGGCCUCCUUUGAUAGCGAGUUGGAUAUAAUAUUUGUCAGUGCUAGCCAAGCACUCAUCAUGUCAUUUUGCAAAAACAGAGAGUCCAAGCAUAAAACAAUUUUUCCUUUACUCAACCAGAAAGAAACGGCAAACCCAACAGUGAUGAAAUACAGUCAUAUAAUGAGGAUAUUCUAAGAAUCCACGGAUCUAUAAGAAAGCAAUUUAGAUUGCUGUGACUCAAGUAAGCUGCGAUUCAUCAAAGCGUUCAAAAACAUACUGGAACAAACUAUCAAUUUCGCCUUUCUUAAAUCAAAGAAUUCAAAGAGACAAAAAAAAAAAAAAGUUAAAAUAAAAAUUAAAAACCAAGCUUAACGUACCACUUCAAGCACUAUGAUUUGAAAAAAGCAGACCUUAGUCCAAAAAUGCUCGAUUGGUUCCUGCCAGUGCUCUAUCACUGGUACUCUUCACCAGGAGAAAUUUACACUUGUCAAUUUAAAGUCUAGAUAACCUGUUGAAUCUAAAUUCCAGUAACUUAACUAAGCUCUUAAGGUCUUCGAAAUGACAGAUUUUUGCUCAUCUGUCAAUGAUGAUGGGAAAACCACCUCGAACGUGACGAAAAGGUCACCCUUCUUGUCACUAUCGAAUAGUGGCAUGCCUUCUCUAGGGAAUUUCCUAGUUUCUUUGGGUUUUGUGACUAGGGCACUUCCGACAGCUACCUUGUGGCCAUCAAGAUGGGCAAUAUCUUUUUUAAAACCCACGAGUGCAUCUAAAAGCGUUAUGGUGACAGUUAUAUGAAGAUCGUUUCCCUCUCUUCGGAAUCGGCUAUCAGGUUUAGUGCGAAUAAUAAACUUCAGGUCUCCAGGCUCUCCAUCAAUGACGGGUUCUCCAUCUUCAUAAAAGACGAUUUCUUGUCCAUCUCGCAUUCCUUUCUCAAUGUCUACUGUUAAAGAUUGGGUCACGCGCUCAAACUUCACGUUAGGACAUUCUUGACAGACCUGCUCUGUGUAUUGUUGAUACAUCCCAGGUCCAAUCUGUCGAUGAACUACCUUAUUCUUGCAGUUACAUUUGCGCUUCCCAGCAGCGGGCUUCACCACGUUCUUAUCUCUCCAUAUCUGCAAGUAUUUGCAGAACAUACAAGUCCUGUCACUAGGGCGCAUGGUGUGCAAGAAAUCAUCUGAACUAGGAGAAUUAAUACAUAAUGCUUUGGAAAUGCUAUACUAUACGCUUUGCAUUCUUGCAUUAACCGAUUAGGUUUAUGUAAAAGAAUCGCAUUAACCUAAACAUUAAGCUUAAGCACCCAACUGAACCAGUCAUUGCACAAUUCCUAAAAACCAACACAAGAAAUACUUCAUUGAGUUACUGACUAGGUAACACAUGCGGUCUAAGCUACCGUGAAAAAAUAAGUUAAGUGUCUCGGUGACAGAAUUUAAACGUUGAUGAUUUCAAAUUGUCAGUUCUCCAUGCUAGUCGUCUCCCUCAACAUUUUAGUUGGAGAAUGGUAGUUAGCAGCCACUCACAGCUUAAAUGUGCUUCCGAUUCGCCUUGACCGUGGAUUACAUGCAAUCCUAUAGACCUUCUACGAAGAACGGCUACUCGUAGGCACCAGCGAACAAGAAAUAAAUUCAAUCCCUAGCAGCAAAAUGAGCAGACUUGCAUGUAAAAUCUCCAAGCCCAGGAUACAGGAAGUGAGUUGGGCCUUUUCUGGGUGAUAAACCUACAUAAUAAGAAAGUGUGUCUCACCGAAGGAGGCAAAGAGCUGAUUCGUAAAACCUCGUAAACUGUGAGGCUUUUGCAGUCUAAAGUCAGCAAAAAGCAGGUUACAAUGCAUCAGUUAGGAUGAUAAUCAGGAAAUAGGCGACGUAUUUGCCAACCUGAUAUGAAUUCCCGACAUAGAGAUCUUUCAAUGUGGCAUAUAUUUCGACUGUAACAUCGUCACCCUUCAGAGUCUUUUCCUCUUCGUCCUCCUCACCACCAAAUCGAAAUCCACCUCCAAAAAACUGUGAAAAAAUGUCUUGACCAAACCCUCCACCACCGCGGCCACCGCCUUGUUGUUGCUGCUUCAGCCCCUCCUCACCAUACUGAUCGUACACCCCUCGUUUCUCCCUAUCGGAAAGAACCUCAUACGCAUUAUUAAUCUCUGCAAACUUCUUUGUUGCCUCUUCAUUUCCAGGGUUCUUGUCGGGGUGAAACUUCAAAGCCAAUUUGCGAUAUGCACGUUUGAUUUGAUCGUCAGUUGCCUGUUUCGAAACCUGAAGAAUAUCAUAGUAACUCUUGCCAGCAGAAACUACCUCUACAGUCGAUGCCGAGAAAAGAAGCAAGAACACGAAAAUAUUCCAGAUCCGCAUCGGGAAGUUCAGAUCCCUCUCUACACAAUCCUCAACCAAACCGACCUAUACAAUAAAACGAAGCUACUCUCACCAGCUCUCAAAUUCUAGAGCUAUGCACGAAUUAUCAAAGACACACCCCGAACAGACCAGCACUAGAGUAAAUCACUCUCAAAGAACUACAAACCAGCUACAUUCCAAAUUAUGUCCACUUUUUUUCCAAAAAAGUCAGCAGGUUUCUACCCUGAUACAUUCUGUGCCAUGAAACACACACCAGACUCCCACUAACACUAAAACUGACCCGAAUGACGCUACCGAAGAGCUACAAUUGCCUCACAAGCACACACACGCAGCGAGCUGCUCCUCGCACAUGAAGCAAAACUGAUGAAACUGAAUUAGGGUGCCAGUGUCUAGUGUGGGGCUGAAUGGAAAUGCAGGGAGCGAAGUUCCCAGAGCUCCCCUGAGGCGUUCCCACACCUUCUUCGAAUGGGAACCAAUGGCUUUGCGUCCACGUAGUUGGAGCCGGAUUCACCAAUCACGCCUUGCCAUGUCACGGAGAAGCUUGGCCGCGGUCUAGGUGGUGUCGCACAGUCAUCAAUUCAUUCGUUGAGUUGAAUUUAUCAUUCGUUUCAUUCCUGUCCGUUUGCUUUUUAGUGUGGUGUGAACAGAAUUUGCUGUGUGGUUUUGAGCUUUGUAUCUUAACUUGUGUGUAUAUUUAGGCUGGUCUUAAUGAUUCAUUUCUUUAAUUAGUAGGAUAGAUUUAUCCAUGAUUUUUUUAUUUUUUGUAGAUAGGUUUAUAGUCAAUAUUUUCACUUCAUAAAGAUAUUUCCUCUUUUCAAUAUGUCUUACUUAAAAAAAUCAGUGCAUCAAUUUGGUUUUUCGAUUUGUUAUUAUUUCUUAAAAUAUUAUUAAAAUUUUCAAUUCCUCUUCUAUUUAUUAUUUACUAUUUUAUUUCUAUCAUUUUUUUUUUCAUGUUACAAAAAAUUGACUUUCUAUAUGUAUUACAAAACCAUUGGAUUCUUCCAUCAACAAUAAUUAUCUAAGCAUAAUAUAAUAAAUGAGUUUUAUAUUACAAUUUUUAAAACCGAUCAGUCUACUCUUACUCCUAUUCAAGCAAAUUAAUUUUAAAGGAUGAUAGAUUUGAAUUGAAAGUGGUGUGUAGAUUAUUUUUGUUUUUUAAAAAUCGUAGACACUAUACAAUGUUGGUUUUUAUACAUAUGAAUGAAGGCAUUGCAUUAUAUACACACGUAUGUAUACAUAUUAACACAGAUAUAAAAGAUUUUGAAGUUAUCAAAUACAUUAUUUUUAAUAUUACAAAGGAUAAUGACGUCUAAUUUUUUUAAAAUAAGAAGUAUUGAAGGUCAACAAAUAAAUUAGUUAUUCUAAUUUUUGAGCCUAGAUUAUAAAUUCUUUGAACUCUUGAUCCUUAUGCAUGUCCAUGUAUAUAUAUAUAUAUAUAUAUAUAUGUGUGUGUGUGUGUGUGUGUGAUAUGUUAAGAAUUGAACAUAAAACAUAUUAUAAAUUAGAUUUGCCACUAUUCUACUAUUUGUUUUUUGAACUUUGGUACAAUAGUGACAAUUCUACAAAUGAUUGAACUGAAAAUGGAUUGUGGAAUACAUGUAUUUGUGUUAAGGCAAUAUAACAUGAACAGAUGGUUAUUUCAAUAAUAAUCCAUAGUGGGAAAUGACUAAUUGGAUGUUACAUAAAACUUAUAAACAUUUGAAACCAAAAGCUUAAAAAAUAAAUAAAUAACUAAAUAAAUUACAUCUUCUAUUCGUAUUAUUUAUAAAAAUUAUUGGAUAGAAGAUGGUAACAAUUUUAUAAAAUGACACAUGCAUCACACAGAAGCAUAAAAUUGUAAAAAGUAAUAGAUAAGAAGUAAACCUAAACAAAACAAUGUGAUUAUCAACAUUUUCUGUUUGCAUACCUGGAUGUGAAGUUUCUGAUUCAUUUCAAACCUGCUACAGAAUCCAUACUGUUCACCAGCAGUUUGUCGUGUUCAUUCCUUGUUUGCAAAGUACAGUGUGUCGUGCACGUCAACAAAUCUGCUUGCAUUAUCGGUUCACCCUUUGGUAGAAAACAAAAGUUGAUACAUAGUUGCAUAAUUUCUUGUAUGUAAAACGGAUAAGAGUUACAAUUGAAGGCUCUGAAUAUUCUCCUGCGAGCAACGAACUGGGUUCGCUUACAGAGCAAGGAAUUGCACAGGGCUGCUCAUCCAGUACCAUUUUAUUUACAUUCAGCUCCUGUUCGCUGUCAACAGCAACUUUGUUCUGAUCACUUCUGUCACCUUUUUAUGAGGAUGCAAUGCAGUAUUAGCACUUAACUAGUCAAUGGCCCACCCUUUUGAAAAUUAUGUACGAUACGAUGGUGUAAGCAUCAGGACAUUCGCUCAGAGAUGUGUGUCAGUUUUUAAAUUAGUCAUUUCAGAAAGUAGUUAUUAGAUGAUGCUAUCAAUAUGUUCCUUGUUUCUCUUGUUGGCUUGGUACUUGGGUUAGCUGCGUUGUGGCUCCAAACGAGAGUGCAACUUUGUAUAAACUUAAGACUUAUUUGAGAUUGUUGCCUACUGUUCACUCACCUGUAAGCCAGGGAGUUAAGAGCAGUACAGAAUGAGACGAGGGUUUUGUUUUCACUACUUGAGAUUGGACAAACCCAAAUGCUGUAUCUGGAAAAUAUUAAAUCCAUUUCUACACUACUGAUUGGUAAUAAGGUAAAAACAUAUCACGAAUAGAAAUUAGCGCUCCUCACUGUUUUACACGAGAUUACUGCCCAGGAGGCAGCUGAGAACUGCUCAGGUUUAUCUACAUCACACUUCAGUGUAAUGGCUUGAAUUUCUAUAUGAGUAAUGUUUCAAAUCCACCUAGGGGACACUUUGGAAAUAGAAAAGCUGGCACUCGCCCUAGCAUAAUGCCAUUCGGUCAGCUCUACUAACGGCAUGCUUCAGAACAAUACAGCAAUAAUGAAGCGUUUGCUUCAGGAGCAACUGUGUACUAACUUCAAUUUGUACAAAAGAAUUGUAUGGCUGGCAAAGAAUAAGUUAGUACCUCGAACAUGAUGAACAUGAUGAAGCAGCAGAGGUAAGCUGAGACGCCUUCUCCACACCAGCACGCUGAUUCCGUGCUUGAAAUUUGGCCGUUUAAAGAUGAAAAAUCAGCUGGAGCCUCCUGUCGCUCCCUGCAACAUUAAAAUCCGUGUUAGUUCUUCAAUGUAAACCCAUACCGUAUAUUAAACGAGAAUCAGGCACUUACUCGUUUUGCAACAUUGCCCAAACUGCAUGAGGGUCCCGAUAACGUUUUUUUAAACUCAUCAUCUCAUUCAAUAAGGUAGUCCGCUUGAAUCGACUCACUACCUCACUUCUUUAUUACUGAUUUUGAUAUUAAAAUUUAGUAGUUAGGAAUUAUUGAACACUAGGAUACUCCAAAUGUCCAAGAAGUAAACUGCGGUUCAUAUUAAAUUUUUGGUUCACACAGGAUUCAAAACCAUCACUAUUGAUCCUUCAUGACAACCCAAGUGACCAGCUGUGUGUCAUGGGUUAGUAAACAUGUUAGCUAAGAGUAUUUUUCAUUCAGCAAGGUCAGUCUAUACUACAGAAACAUAAUUUUUCUCGCUUCCAACAGGACUCAUGAGUGUCGACUCAUCGUCCUUAGUUCGAACCAUAACCUAAAUUUGAGUCUCAAAGUGACAACUUGUUACUAGAAUAUUCUGUCAAAAUUCCAAAUGAUAGGUGAAGUCCAUUCCAAAACAAAAGAUGCGGUGGCUUUAAAGUACUAGCCACCUUGGACAGAAGCACGGUUCAUUAAUACGCACGAUGAAGUGUGAUCGCAAAAGCACGAAUCCUCUCAUUAACCUUUCACUUCAUGAAUAGAUGUGUAACAUAAGUUCAAAUGAUUAAAAAUAAAACAUAGCCUGAAAUUAAAUAAAACAACCAGUAUGUGCAGGUUAAGAGUUAGAUUUUCUCUCUAAAUUUCUGAUUACUUUCAAAAAGCCUGCUGCUGCUAAGACCUGCCCUGUAUCAGGAAUCAGGUAACCCUGAAAGUAAGAAUAAGAGAUUUGACAAGGAAAUUUUGUGAAGACCUGAAUAAAGUACUUACACCUCACUCUCACAACAAAAAUGCACAAAUUUCCAGUAAGGAGAUCACAAGUUCCUAUUCAUUGGGAAAAUGCCCUGAUCAAGCAAUGGGUAACUUCGAGCACAUAGAGAUAAAGGGCCUCUUAGGAUUAAGCACCUUGAGAAGAGGACGAGUGAUUGGUAACCGGCGAUUGAUGAUCAUACGCUUUUCAGUCUCUUGUCGGCCCCAAAUGACAAUGUAGAGGCCUGCCACUAUCAGCAAUCCACCAAUGACACUGCAAAACCACUCAAACAAGAUGUUUAGAACAUCAUCCGAAGACCCAUGUUUUUUCUGCAGCUUCAACCAUCCGAAUGAAAAAUAAACAAACACCAUUGAAUAUCCUGAGAACACAAUUUCAUGCAUUCAAAACGGAGAUCCUCCAAAAUCAAGCAACGAUAUUCGUUAAUGAGAUCGUCCAGUCAAUUUGUGAUGAUACUAAAGACUGUCUUGAGGUCGCCCGGGAUCUGAGGUACUGGGUAAUUCCUCUAGAAAAGACCGAUAAAAUCGCCACACUACGAGACAGAAUUCAAUUAAAGCACCUAAUGUUGUUCAUUGAAAAGAGCAGAAGUAUAAUGAUAAGAGAAGUUGUGUAAAACUAUGGCAAAGCAUGGCAAAAAUUUUGUGGUCUCAGUACUUGCCUCCCCGUGUAUAGCGAACUCCGCAAAAAAAUUCGAGAAAGAAUUGAUGAAGCCAGUGGUUGAAGAGGAAUAUAAAGAGCAACAAGAGAUGGUCCCACCAUCUUGUUCGAGUACGUGAGUAAUCCAUAAUUCACUGCCGAUGCAACAACCCCCUGACAAAAUACAGAAACUCUUUAUUUCCAGACGGGAAGAGUAGAAAUAGAACUACAAAUAUUUCGUAUUGAGAGAAAAUAAAUAAAUAAAAAGAAAAAAAGGAGAGGCGGUCUAAAAUAAUAGACCUAUAACGCAUGUCCUUACUGACCAAAUAAUCUGGUAAGAACCAUCCUUCAGGUAAACAUAUAAUUAACAUUGAAGAUUCACUCCCGUAUCACUCCCACCACCAACAGCACAUUUCACACCUUCAAGUAACACUUCCAUACAACUUGCUGCAACAAACCUAACCAUGAAUCAAAGUAGACACAACACAAGAGAAUGAGUUACAAAACACUUACAGCAUAAAUAACGGCUAAAGUUUCUCCACUGUUUAGCCUCCAGUCAGCCGAUUCAUUAGCGAAAAAGAAUCCAGUGAAUGUCAUCAGACUUGCCCCAAACGCAUAAGAAUAUGCUGUCACGGAGAGACUGGCAGGAUAUUUGAUCAGCAAUGGAGCCUGCCAUAAACAUACAGGAUGAAGAUCUCGUACGCUUUGUUCGUAAUUUGAAUUCAGUAAAACGAAAAUCGACUACCAGGUCCUAUUACCCCUAGAGACAAGGUCGAAUGUUCAUAUGAAUACAAAACAUAUUACAUACUCUAGCAUAUAGCCUGAUAAUAUCACAUAUUGUCAACAACUAGAAAGACUAAAGAAAACAUACAAGACAAUCAAGAGUAAAGCGCGACUGAAAGACAUGAUCAUCAAAAUCUGUACAGUAAAAACCUAUGAUCUCCGGUAUAAAAUAGCUCAAAUACUCUAAAGUCGGAAUCCAAACUACCAAACAUCGUCAAUUCAUGAUUGUAACCUACACAAGACCUGGCAUGAUGGAAAGAAAAACUAAAAUAUCAACAUUACUUGUCCGAAGGUCACAUGCCUGUAAGAUAUGACCAACAUGGAUAAUUACCUGAUAUACUAUAUAUAUUGCCAUGCUUAAAGUAUUGCCGAUUAAGCAAAGAACACCAAAACGCCAAAGGUCAAUCCCGGAAUCAAUAAGAAUUCCUGUAAUCCAUCGAACAGGCAUGGAAGCAGAGUUGCCUGCAAUGUCCAUCCCUUGCAGAUUCAUAUCAGAUAGCCCAUCACCGAGAAGAGCAGGACCCUUGUACAGGGCCAUGAACAAUGCACCAGCAACACACACUAUCACUCCAGCAACUUUCGCUUUGCCAUCUGGUCGUUCCCAGUGCAGAGUUUCUGUUCUGUUGAACCAAACAGGUCAUUCCACAUUUAAUAAAAAGAAGGUAACCUACACACAAGAAUUAAUGAGAUAAAAUCGUCCGAGCUGAGAUUUCAAGCAUAUCCAACACAAGAAAGACAAAUAAAGCCCUCUACCAACAUCAUCACAAGAGAUAGACAUUGCAAGAGCCGCAACAUAAUAAAUGUUCCUCAUAUGCAGCAUUUCUCUUUCUAUUAAAGACAUUUACUCCAUAUAAUGAACGUUUCAUUUCUCAUGCGUUAUGAAGUCCUGAAAGUAACACCAAGAACUCCUCAGGGAUUGGAACUAACCGGAGCAAUACCGCUAGUAUGAAAGUAAAUACAGGAAUAAGAGGCUGCGUAGCAGCAGCGAAAAAUGGUGAAGUGAGAUUGAGCCCCAGGGUAAAAAGUAGCUGAUUCGCAAAGAUCCUGCAAAUUGAAAUCCGUAACGCAGCACACAAGCCUCAGAGAUCAGCCCAUAUAUUCAGUAAAAUGUUAUAGAUUUCUUGAACAAAAUAUACUGCAUAUUUUAUUGGCUUGGAUGCUGAAGGAAAAGAGGACUCACCCUGUUAAUCCGAGGAAAAAGAAGGAAAAUAAAAAGUAGCCAGAUAUUGGCGGUCGUACCCUCCUUCAUUUGCAAAGACGAAAACAAAUGUUAGUCAUACCGUGAAAUAAACAAGGACAUCCAGUUUCUAGACUGAUGAAAAUCAGCAUUUUCCAUCAUUGAUAGGCUAGAAGCGCAGAUAAAUAAUGAGAUGAUAUCUUCAGUAGUUAAGUCUACAAGUGCUUCGCACUGUGAUUUCUAUAGCAAGCAUACCAAGAAACAUAUCCAGUGAUAAUAUAAGAGGCAUACAACAGUGGCAAAUUGUAGAAACUACUCACUCAAAUCGUCAUCUACCGACAGUAAGCCAAGGCAAAACAUAUAGCUCGACUCAGCGGGAAAUCUAGUCGUAACUGUCGGUAAUCAGCAGCCCAAGAGAACUAUCAGACCACAAAUUUCCACAUAACACUCUCAUUGCAAGUUCUUCGACAAUCAUUUCCGGACAAUGAUAAAACUCCAACAUAAACGUUGCUAGAACAGCAGGGGCAAAGAGUUUGUGGAAAGAAAAAUCACCUUUCAGAGCAAUAAGCUAACGGCCCUAAGAUUGACAGCGCAAUCAAGUCUCGGAGCACGCAGAAGACCAAUUGAUUAAGCCCCACACUUAAAGCUAAUUUCGUGAUUACAUGAUAACCACCAUAAUUAAGCUGGAUUAAGACUAAUGCCACGUAAGGCUUCCAUGCAUCUCCAGCCAUUGCUCUAUUCAAAACCCUCCGAAAUUAUGCUCCAAUAAACUGCAAAAAUAUUUAUAAAAGAAGAGUCAAGACAGUGUUCUUAAAAGUUGAUUAUAGAAACACACAAUUUUAAGCAUGAAUUGUGUCCUAUUACACAUAGCACAAUACACAUCAUCAAAUUGAGUUCGAGUGAAGAACAUUGUGAAGACAAACAGACUUUCCAACAGGUUAGCCCAUUUAAAUGCCACGCUAUAUACACUCGACUGUCAAUCUCCAUACACGAUUCAGCAUUCAAUCCAUAAUGAAAGUAUGAAUUCAGUGCUGGCCACCAAGCCACAAUAACCAUGAAUCUCACAAGUUGACGUGCAGGUGGCGAGUCUCUCGUUUGAACAUGUUCGGUAGAUAGGUUCCCUAAUGAUAGUAUUGACGGAAGAAACUCAUGAGAGAUGCCAAAGGAACGCUUGCCAUUAUUUAAAAAAAUAAAAAAUAAAAAAUAAAAAAUACUAAUGUUUAGACCAGCAAUAUUGUGGCACCUAUGAAUGAACUCGCUUUUGUUGCAUACUGUCAGAACUAGGCUUUCAAUUAUGGUUCGUACAAGAACCCGCGCUAUUCCUUUUUCAUGUAUGCUGGUAAUGGCGACCGUCCAAUUAGACGUGCUCCGUUGUUCACAUUCCCUUGGUUCUCCCAACCUAAUUGCCAAACUGCUAAUUUCGCCCUCAAUACUUUCCAUCAUUUCCGAUCUGAAGUUCAGAAAGUGAAGAAGAUUUUUGCACGAGUCAUCACCAAAUAUAAUUCAAGCAAGUGCCAUCAAACCAAAAUUACCGGUCGCGAGCAAUUUAAGCUCUCCGCAGACCUCACAAUAACCAAUCAUCAGACCAUUCUCCAUAACCUCUAGUGAUACUCUAAAGCUGAAAAAGCAAAUAACAAGAUCUCAGUCUCACUCUCAAUCUCAAUCAUACCAUCCUCCCUUACCACAAGAAAAACGAGAACGAAAGAAAUCAAAAGUCCUAACACGGACGUGAAAGCUGUAACUUGACAAUGACAACACCGAAUCGUGCACUUACGUCAACUUUAAUAACAGAAAAAGAAGCAAGAAACCGUCACAAGGAAGCAACGCAAAUCUACAAAGAAAGAUACACCCUCCGUACAUGUAAUUCAAUCACCACGUCCUCACCAACUCCAACGCCAAAUUCUUUCAAGUUCUACGCAACUCACCACUCAAACCUCCACAAUUCGGCCCUUGCACGAUGCAGAUACGAGCUCCAAGCUAAUCGCCAGCAGCUCCACUAAAACACGGGCACUCGCUUUUGGUGGAAACCAACCUCCUCUGCAGCGUGACCGUAGGAACCAAGAUUGUAUCAACUGCGAAUCGACCGCAGCGGAGCGAGAGAGAGAGUGAAAGUGAGAGAGAGAAAGAGGGUCGGCAUGGAAUAAGCAACGUGUUACCAAUUCGCAAAUACUGAUUGGUGCAGGUAUCUUCGGGCGGAUGCAAACCACGGACACACUCCACGUCAAAGAGCGCGAAAGCGGAACUGUGCUGUGGGAGAAACUGGCCCAGUCUGCGCCUUCGACCAGGUGUGACGCUGUUAAGCGCCGUCUGAACCGGGGUGGGGCAAUGCGAAAGUAUCAUCUGCGCCGUGUUCACGUCGACUCGCUUGUCCCUAUCAUUCCCCACAAUAUCCUCUCCAGUGUCGCUUCUAGCCAUUGGAGAUGCUUUCUUCGAAUGACAUGGCGCAGUUCCGACGAAUCCCGAGAAAUUACGUGCUAGAUUAGGGUCGGCGACCUCUGACUAAACCCCCCGUCCGCUUGCCCUCAGUCAAAAUUAGAUCUCCGGGGGACAAUUCCAAAGCAUGUUUUCUAUCCCGACGGAACUACGGAGCAUCUUACAUCAAACUCAUAAUCUCUCAAGAAACUAAACAAAAUCUACUCUCGCUAUGACAAAAGUAAAAUAAUAAUAAAAUAAAACCCCUCGCAAUAAUUGGAUUGCGCACAACUUUCCAAUAAAACCGCACCGAAAAGCACAGCAAUUAUUUUUUAACAUCAAGAGUUUCCCCAGCCAGUGAAACGAGUGCAACUCGGAACCGAAACCGCAGCCACAAACCGACUUGAGGAGCCUCUUUUCCGCAAUCAAAUCUUAUCGGCGGCAUUCAGAUCAGUGAGAGCAAAAACCAUCCCCGCGACGUGAUUGAACGGAGUCGUGAUUGAAGAAGAAGAAGAAGAAGAUAAGGUUGAGAUGCCGAAGAGGGACAAGAAGAUGCUUCUGGAUAGGGGUUGCUAUUGUCCACGUCGGAUGUCCACGUAGGCAUGCGAUUGUGAAACGUGGUCGAGUUCUUAUGAACAUGUGGGGAGGUGAAGAAUGUCAAGUUGCUGGUAUGUAUUCAAUUCAUCCAUUGCACGAGAACGUCACAUGUGAUGUUGCACGAGGAAAAUGCUUACAUGCAAUGUUGCUUCCAUCAUCUUGUGCAUUGGUUCACAUUGUUUUUUGGAGUAUGUUUUUAAAAUGAAAAGUAAUAAUAAUAAUAAUAAUAACAAUAACAAUAAUAACUUAUUUUCAACAUUAAAAUAAGUCAUUAGUACUCCAGACUGCACUGUUUUAUUACCAUUGUAUGCAAGUUUAUUAUGUAAUUUUCAUUUUCAGUAAUUUCUUUCUCAAUUUCAGGAAUUGAAUGAUUUGUUCGAAAGCUUGCAUGUUAUAUAAUGUAUUUUAUAUAUAGAAAAUGAAAUAAAGUGUAAGCACAAUCCGUGUGCAACAUCACACAACAUGUGGCAAAGUACACAUGUUCAUUACAAAUAGUUUUUUAUUGUAAUUAUUAAUUGUUUCGUGUUUUAAAAUGAAUAAAGUUGAUCAAGAUUUGACACGUUCGAAUAUUACUAUAUUUUAGAAAUAAAAAACAAUAUUUUUUUUUCCUACCAUGAGGUUCAGUCUGUGACAAAUUGUCUUUGCAAAUUCAAUUACUGUUUAGAGAAGAUCUCUUCUUUGCAAUAGAAACAAUUAAUACUUAAUCUGCUCAACUUUUACAUUGAUGUAGAAUUAUUUAAGAUUUAAUAUUUUCUCUAAUUAAUUAAUAUGAUGUUUUUAAUUUUGAAUCCUCUGUGAUGUCAAAAGAUACUUUUAUAAACCAUGUUACAUUAUGUUUUUUGCUCUACAUCAUAAUCUAUAAAUUGAAUUAUUCCUACAUAAUUUGGUUGAAAUCAAAUUAAAAAAAAUUAAAUGAUUUAGUAAAAUAUUAUUUGUAAUAAAUUGUAUUUAUUCCAUUUUUUUUCUUUUUCUUUUUUUCCAAUCCAAUGCUAUUUUUAUUGAUAAUUUUACAAAAACUAGUAGACAUUUUUAGCAAAAGAUUUCAUAUUUAGUUAGCAUUUCAAUAUUAUUUCGGUGAUUAAUUAAAACAAAGCCAUAGCUAAACACAAUAUAAGGAUGUCAUAAAAAAAUUAAUUAAUUCCAAUCCAAUCUUUUAUACAUACAUACAUACAUACAUACAUACAUACAUGUAGGAUGUGGCUUUCAUUUUAUUUUUCAUUUGAUUAGUUUUAAAAUUAUACUUUAUAAGAUAUUUGAUUUUUAUUAAAAUUAAUAUUAAAAAAUAAAAAUGAUAAAUCUGGAUUGUCUUUGAAGUAUUGCCAGUACUCCAAAGCUACAAUUAAAUAUAAUAAUUUUUACAUAUUUUUUCUAACAAUAUAAUAAAAGAUACUUUUUGAAAUAAAUAAUUUUUAUUAUAAUUAUUAUCUUUAUAAAUUUAAAAUAAUAAUAAAAUAAAUAUUAUAUAUAUAUAUUUACAUUUAUAUAUGAUUUUAUACACUAUAGUUAUUUAAUCUUAAUUUUUAUUUGACAAUUCAAAACAUAUUAAAAACACAAUAAUAUAUAAUAUUUUACAUAUAUGACAGUGAAUUUUUUCCUCUAUCCAAAUUAUAAAAUGACGUCAAUGAAGAGUUGCUUGUAAUUGGUGGUGUGAAGUAGAAGUAGUAAGUACAAGAAUAAAAGAAGAACAAUACAAAAUAAGUGAACAAAUGUAAUCAAGCAAUUGUAUACUAUAAAACUAGUCACAAUUUGUUUAUUGGAUUUUCAUCCAAUAAAAAGUAAAUAAAUAUAUAUAUAUAUAUAUAUAUAUAUAUAUAUAUAUAAUUCUUUUAUAUUUUUAAUGACAUAUUAACAUGUAAAUUGAAGUUAUUAUAAGUAAGUUAUGAUAGAUUAAAGAUAGAGGGUAAAUAAUAGAAAAGUUAAGUGAAUAAUUUUUAUCUCAAGGAUAACUUGCUUAACUAGUGUAUAUGGAUUUUGAAGAGAGGUCACAAGGCCUUAGUUUUAUCUACCUACCUAUAUCUAAGGUACUACAACCCAUGUGGAACUUGUGCACUUCUCUUUCUACAUAGACUAGACUAGUUGUUGGUCCUCCUAUUUUCUACUAGUAAAACUUUUUUCUUUUUUGUAUUUUUGACUAUACUAUGGUAUUUAAAAACACCCAAUUAGCCUAAAAACCUUGCAUGGCCUUUGAGUCUUGCUUCAUUUCUUCAUAAUAGCUCCCAAGGUGGUAAAACUAAAUUUUACCAAGGACUUGAAAUCUUCUAUAAAAAUUCCUAAAAAAUUCUAAAUAAAUUCUAAAUAAAAUUUAAAAAAUAAUUGAAUAUUUUUAUAUAAAUAAUAUUUAUUUAAGACUAUAUUUUUCUAUAUUUUAAUUUUUUAUAGUAAUAAAAUUAAUUUAUAUCUACUAAAAAUCCUAUUUUCUAUACAAUUAACCAAAAGACAUGAAAUUCUCUUCAUGCUUCUUCUAACUACUAAUUAAUCAUUGAUAGGAUUUUUAUGAGUAAUAAAUAUAUAUAUAUAUAUAUAUAUAUAUAUAUGAAGCCAAUAAAGAUAUUUUUCUCAAUAACUAACCCUUUAUACUUAAUAAUAAAUAAAAAUACUAAACUAACUGAGAUAAUUGCUUCCAAGACUUACUAAGACUCUAUUUUUAUGAAUUUUAUUUCAAUAAGACUUUUAUAACUUAUAAAUGCAUCUAAAUUUUAAUAAAAAAUUAAAUAAUCAAAAAUACUCUUUAAACUAUAUUUUCAAUCAAUCCACCAAUUAAGAUAUAUUGAUGGAGCUAACAACAUAGAAUAUUGUUGUAAUAAUUCUUUUUUUUAAUAUGUAAAGAUAAAUAAUUUUAUUUAUUUUUUAUAUUUAAAAAUUACUUCAAAAUUGUAAAAUCUAAUUAUUUCUUAUUUUAAAAUUUUAUUUAAUAAAAAAUAUAAAAUAUAAAAUAAGUAGUUACUAAAACUACAUCCCUUUGUUGCUAUCUCAUAAUUGAUUCCAUCCAUUCCUUAUGUUUAUUCCCUAUUCCUAGCCCUUGUUCUCAAUUCUUUUAUACUUACAUUUGAGACAUAUAGGUAGACAAUGAGCAAGCAAGACUUACUUGCAUGAAGAGAGAAAAAGUGAAUAAAAUAAAAUAAGUAAGAAUAAAAAAGAGAGUGAGAUAAAGCUUAAUAAUGCCUAUAAAGUCUUUUCAAUUAAGAUCUUCUUUUUCUUCUUCCUCUUUAGUCAUAAUAUUGCAAAGUAGGAGAAAGUAGUAAUGAGAGAGAAGGGACAAGGUACUUAUAUAUCUUUAUUUUUAGAACUAUUAAAAUAGAUGAUGUUGUAGAUUAAGACUCAUUAUUGCCACCAUGUUAGCAUUGUUAAUAUCAUUAAUCAUUAUUUUCUUAUUGCUUUGAAUAUUCACUUACUUGAUCUUUACAAGGAACAACUAAUUAUUUAAUCAAUUUUAUUUUUUUAUUAAAAAAAAUAGAUUUACUAUUUUAAUUAUAAAUAAAAAAAAUCGAAAGAUUAUAUAAUCUUUGAAUAUAUUUUAUAAUUUAUUAAAUAUAUAUAUAAAAAUAUAUAUAAAUAUAUAUAUAUAUAUAUAUAUAUAUAUAUAUAUAUAUAAAAACAUACAUUAUACCAUUAUUUUAUUUUUAAGAUAUGACAUUGAAUUCGAAAUUAUUUAUUAAAUUCUUAUAAUUAAACAUAUUUUUGGAGUAUUUUAAGCUUUUAUGUACUUUUAUCUAAGAAAAUAGUAUUCAAAGUAUUAAAUUAAUAACUAAUAUAUAAAAUUAUAAUUUAAAACUAUCUUUAAAUUAUGUUAAGAUUUUUUUCUUCUAUAUUAUUUUAAAAUAAUUUCUAGCCAUAUUAGUAUUACAAACAUACAUAUUUAUCUAGAUGAGAAGUGCUAGAUAGAAGAUAAAUGAAAAUAGAUUUAAUAUUAUCUUACGAAAAAACUUCUCAGAAGCUUUAUAGAUUCAUAUUUGAUAUUAUACAUGUUUAUAGUUGAUUGGUAGGUUAAAAACUUUGCCAAGAAGUUAGCCAUGUAUUAUAAAUAUAGAUAGUUUGUAAUAGAAGCUAAAAAUAUGGCAUGCAUAUAAGAAACUUGCCUUAUAAAUUAAUACACAGGUCUCACAAAUUGAACACAUGUUGGAGGUUCUAUAGAAUGUUGCCACAUAGCUCCUAGUGAGAUAAUAUACAUAGUGUCACGAAUAUAGAAUACUGAUUGAAAACAAGAAACUUAAGAAGAAUUGGCAAGAACUAGAUUAAUCAGAUGAGUACAAGAACAACACUAGAGAGGUGAGUUAGAGCUUCAAGAGGUGUGUUGUCGAGACUGAGGAUCCUCUCAGUCUCAGCUCUUCUAUAUACUACCAUCUAGGAAGCUUCUCAUGUAGCUUCUACAAACUAGGAAGCUUCUCAAGUAGCUUCCACAAACUAGGAAGCUUCUCAAGCAGCUUCCACAAUCUAUGAAGCUUCUCAAGCAGCUUCCACAAAUUAAGGAGUUUUUCAAGCAUCUUCGACAAACUACAAAGCUUCUCUAGAACCUUCUAGAAUCUCCUACAACUUCCUAGUGUAUGUCUUUGAUAUGACCUCUCCCUCCUUUAGCUUCAAGGUCUUCGAGAAGCACUCCUAUUGCGAGUCAGUACCAUUGUAAGAAGUUAAAAAUUUGUUGCAUAGUGUCUGCAAUAUACUCCAAUUGUUGUUUACGAGACAAGUAGUUCAUUGAUCCUUGUAAUCAACGAUAGUAUCCUAUGCCUUUGAUUUCUGACCAGGCAUGAACUUUCGUGUUUUCAUUGUAAAAUGCCCUACAAACACUCCUUCGGAAAGAUCACUGAAGGCAGGUUCUACUUCAAACACAA
Molecule: long non-coding RNA, 54126 nt
Filed under: Physcomitrium patens
Lineage: Eukaryota; Viridiplantae; Streptophyta; Bryopsida; Funariales; Funariaceae
Description: long non-coding RNA (PPAT_LNC002939)
Source: RNAcentral